UGGGUAGGUCCUCAGGCUUGAGCAACCACACAAAUCAAGCUUCCUCAACUUCAAAUUGAAAAUGGUGCUUGGAAAAGUUUGAAGUGAAUUACAGUGGGUAAGGUCUAACUUGCAUAGUCCGGUGAGGCUUCCAAUGGAAGAUGGAAUAAUCUCAAGAUUCAAGCAACGGUGCAAACUCAGUUCUUCAAGCCCUACCAAACGUGUCCAAGAUGAAGGUAGUGCCUGUAUGGCUGUGUCGUCUAAGAUGAGCACCGUUAAAUCUUCCAACGUGUCCUGAAUCUCGGGUAAAUUUUCCAAUUUUGAGCAACCCCGGAGAGAAAGUUGCUUUAGGAAUUUCAUAUCAGAAAGAUGAAAUGGAAAGAUUGUAAGAGAAGAACAGUGAGAGAGAUCUAAGCGAUAGAACUGCUUGCGACUAAAGGUUAAGGACACACCUUCCUUGAGUUUUGUGAACACUUUUAAGUGUAUGGUAUUAUUAGCCACUUCUUCUUCCUUAUAUCUGUCAAAAGUAAUUGAGAAAAUUUGACUGGAAGUUGGGAAAAGACCAUGGCGUCGACGUUUACGACGCCGUCGUGAGAAAUUGAUCUCUUUCAUCAUAUCCGGUUCCAGACGAGGGAAUCUUGAGAAAGUUUGACGUUGACGCUCGAGUAUGACAUGAGGGAAUCUGGGUUCACUGGUUGAAAACAUAUUAAGCUUCGGACAACGGGAAAUAUUAAUCCAUCCUGGUGAUGUGGAUAAAAUGUUGCUGGGAAUAUUUACACUUUCGAGAUUAGAACAAUUAUCUAAACAUAAAUAACUGAGCUUGGUGAGGAAUAUCGAGGAGUGAACUUCAAUCAACUUUUCACAAGAACUCAGAAUUAUUUCUUCAAUAUUUGGUGACAUAGAAAGGUCUGGUAUUCUAGUAAGUUUCAGAGAACCAGUCAGGUCGACCCUUUUCAACUUGGGUAAAUUCUGCCACAAAUACUAAAUGAAUGAGGUAACAAAUAAAAACUACUUUAUCUAUUUUUCUUCGGUAAACUAAUUUAUUUUUCAGAAAUGAUGAAAAUUAUAACUAAACUAUAUAAAAUUCCAUUUUAUUCUACUCAUCCUUAAUUUUUUUGUGAAAUCUUGAUUUUGGGAUAAUAUCACUUAAACUUAAGAAAUAUUUGGCAUUAAUGAACUCUAAACAAAUUCAUAUAAGAUAUACAUCACUUUCAAUCCAAAAUCUUAAACUAAUAGGUUUAUGAAUUUUCUUUAUAUGUUGUUUUAAAAAGUUGAGACUAAAUUGAACUUUUGAAAAUUGGGAGGAUGAAAUUAUAUUUUGUCUAUUAAUAUAGGGAUUAAAAAAAUAAUUGAAUCAAAUAUUACUAUUUUUGUGAUGUAUAUUUAUAUAUAAAUAAUUUUGAGAAUUUAGAGUUAUAUCAUAUAUAUAUAUAUAUAUAAAAUUCUUUUUGGUAAUGUAUCCUGUAAUUGUAAGCAAGUAUGAUUAUAUUAAGUGGGUGCGUUUCAAAUAGAGGAGACUACGCACAUACAAAUAUCUCUUAUAAAGUAAGAAAACAAACAAACCGUUACUCAAGAAGAUCAUGUAAUGCAUGACAGACAACAUGGGGAGAUAUCUAUCAUCAAUAAUAAAACGAUGUUUUCUGAGAGUUAAAAUUAAACCUUAUUUAAAAUAAGUCCAUCUUUCCAUAUUUUAUAAUUUGUUGUAUAUUAUAUUGAAGUUUAUGUUAUAAUAAAAAAAAUGACUUAAUUAAUCAAAUAAUGUGGAGAAGGCACAAAGGAAUUGCAAAUGAAAACCAGUAGAUGUAUAAUACAGAAAACAUGCUUGUAUAACUUAUUUUUGUCUUUGAAAGUUUAGAACACAAAGAAACAUAGAUAGCUUGAAAAACCUGAUCUCCUUCCCAAAGUUGUUCAAGAUUGCAGCCUGGCAUUUUGAGGGUCACUAGACUUUGUGGGCAAAAGUUUGGAGGCCAAAAUCUUUGAAGGAAAUUGUCCCAAUAAAGAAUCUUUAAAGUGUCCGGCAGAUCUACAAGAGAUGAUUCAAGAGACUCAUAAGAUUGUCCAUCUUUUCGAAACUUUGUGCAUGUACUACAGCAUCUUUUACUUUGUUCGUAUGUAGUAAUAUACACUGUAUUGCAUCUGACCCCUGAAAGUAAAUCAAUGUAAUUAGAAGAAAAAAACAUGAAAUGUUGCAUUGCAGGAUGUUUGAUGACAGCUCAGUGGUUUGCAAUUUUUCACAAAGUAAAUCCAUGUUCAAUUGAGUAACGACAUAAUACCUUGUUCUUUCUUAAAACCUCUCAAAUUUCCUCAGCAUUAAACAAUCGGCUGCGUUUUCCAGGAUGCUGAGGACACUCUUUACGAACAAUUUCUUGACUCAUUUCUUGUAUUAGAUCGUGCAUCACAAUUCUACCAUCAAAGACAGAUAUUAGGCCCCUAUCUUUGAGAAUAUCCAUUCCAAUCUUAGAAGAGAAACCACAGUCAGCAAGUGUUUCUGCUACCACAAUCUCCUGGCGUCCUCUAUAAAAGCAAGCUAUGUCAAGAAAUAUAUUCUUCUCCUCCUCCUCCAGCCCAUCAUAACUUAAUUUUAAUACAUUGAAAAUAUCAAGAUGUUGGCCCUUUUCCAACUUUUGCAACUGACUCUCCCAUGCUUCUCUUGUUCUGCCAUAAAGCAAUGACCCCAAAAUCUAGAGAGCUAAUGGAAUCCCUUUUGCAUAUCUCAACACCUUUUCUGACAGUUCCCUGUAAGCAAUUUCUUCUGAAGAUUUUUGUUUAAAAGCAAGUAAACUAAAAAGUUUCUGAGAAUCAUCAAAAUUCAACUCCUUAACUUCGUAGAUAUCAUCAGCUCUAGCAUUCUUAAGCACUUGUUUGUCUCUACUGGUGAUAAUCAUUCUACUGCCCUGCCCAAAACUAUCACUCCCUCCUAUUAAUUUUUUAAGUAGAGCUGAAUCGGUAACAUCAUCAAGAAUGAGGAGAGCCUUUGUCCGUUUCAGCCUUUCAUUGUAAUAUGAUAAACCAUGGGAUUUCUUUAUCUCUUCCUUUAGAAGCUCAGACAGAUAUUUUGUUCUGAUACUGUCUAUUCCAUCUUUUUGUAUUUUUUCUUGAACGUCUAAAACAAGGCUGCUGGAACCAAACUGCAAAGCCAAUGUGUGAUAUAUUUGAUAACAAAUUGUAGUUUUUCCUAUUCCUCCCAUGCCACAAAUUCCUAUGAUCCGAACAUGCGGUGACUCAAGAUGCAACAAGGACUGAAUUCCUUCAAUGUGUUUUUCAAUGCCGAUGAUUCCUUGAUCAUAACUGGUGGAAUAACGAUUCAAUUUUCUCAAAAUAUCUUCCACAAUUUCUUCAACAAGUGUGUGUUCUGGCCUGGCAGAUGAUUUAGAAAAUAAAGUAUAAGUAUUCAAGCACAAAAGCUAAACUAAACUAAAGAAAAAAUCAGAGUUAAGAGGAGUGAACAUCAUUGAAUAGAUUCACAUAUCGAUUCUAGUUUCGAGUUUUGGAUAAAAUAAAUAAAUUAAAAAGUUGAAGGUAAGUAUAGGACGUUAUCUUCGUAUAUUAGUUUGGUUGGUUUAGAAAUUGCAAAUCAAGAUGGCAAAAAUACUACAGUAACCGUUUGUGACUUCUGAUAAUAGGGAGCAGAUUUGUAGGUACAAAGUUAAGCUAUAACAUGUGAUAUGGUUCAGAUCCAUGACCGACUAAAAGAAAGACUUGAUUUAUGGUGAGAUGAACACAAUUUUAGUAAAUGAAAAGAAAUCCUGUUUAUCUCGAAAUUAUCUAAUAAAUAUAAUGACCUGGUGACUUUUGAAUCCCAGCCUGAAAGUCCAGCAGCUUCGGUGAGAGCAUCCUUCCAUCCUUGCGCUUUGACCAUGUCGUGCAUAAACCGCUGUUCAUGAUCAUCGAAUGAUUCUUUGUAUCUUUCUUCCUGCUUCCUAAUAGUUGAUGGAUCCACCUUGUAGAAAACAGGUAUCACAUCCCUUCCAAAUCUCUUCUUGCAUUCAAGUAUCUUACUGAGUUCAUUCAAGCACCAAGUGGAAGAUGCAUAGUUUUGGGAGAAAACGAUGACAUAAAUCUUUGAUUCUUCUAUUGCAGAGAGCAGUGCAGGUGAAAUUUCUUCGCCCCUGAGUAGUCUAUAAUCAAUAUAUGCUUCAAUGUUCUUCCUUUGCAGUGCUGCAUAAAGGUGGCUAAUGAAGUUGUCACGUGUGUCUUCGCCUCUGAAGCUGAGAAACACAUCAUGCCUUGUUAGAGAAGUAGACACGGCCAAUGAUGAAGGACUUUCUGACAUUGGAGUCAAUUUUCUCUCCUUUCUCUGCAAUUCUCAGGUCUCUUUCUUUGUACUGUUUCUACCACAAAUCUACUCUGCUGCUCUGGACUCAUUAUAAAACACAAGUCAACUUUUGAAAAAGUCUUUCAAUUUUCUUAACAUUCCUUUCACAGAUAUGUGUUCUGGUCAGACAUCGUAGUCAGCAGAAACUAAAGAAAAAGAAAAAUAUUAAUUUAAUAGAAUAGUCAACAAAUUGCAAAAUAAGUAUGGAAUCUAGAUUUAUAUCAUUAUCACGUGUGGAAACAUAGCUACGUCUUCUUAGAUAAAAUCCUUAUUUAAGUUUUAAUUGGGCCUUGUAGUGGGCUUUGUAAUCUGCUUUUCUUUUCUCCUAUAUUGCUUUAUAUAUACACCUCCACUUUUGCUUUCUACAUUUCAUUUUACAAAAUACAUUCUCUCAUUCUGUGUCAUUUAUCUUGCCUGAUUCCGUCCUCUCUUUAUCUUUUUCUCUCAUCCUCUUGCUUAUAAUUCUUUUGUUUUUAUUAAGAAAUACACUAUAAUUCUAAUUUAAUCAUAUACUAUAAUUAUGCUAAUCAUCAAUUAGUACUAUAUAUUAUUAAUGAUCUGCGUAUAUAUUAUUUAUGAUUUGCGGAUAAGACAAUAGAUUCAAUAAAUUCUAGAUAAAAUAAAUUUUAAAUGAAUAUGAUAAAAAUAUAUUAAAAAAUGAACUUUAUUGAAUCGAUUGAGUAUCUCUAUUUUAAAGACUUGUAAGAAUAAUAGGAAUAACAAUAUAUUAAUAUUAAUAUGUUUCUUAAUAAAUUUCAUACCCACUAUCUAUUUAUAAAUUAAUAUAUUAUAAAUAUCUAAUGAUGUCUUAUUUCUCUAACAUUUAAAAUUAAAUUUGUAGAUUCUACAAAACAUUACAUUUUGAUUUUAAUAUUUAUAAAAUAUUUUUUAUUCUCAUAUUUAAAAAACAAAACUUAGUUUGAGUGUAUUCCUUAGUUACUUACUACUCAUCACCAGCCGCCAACAGCGUGAUGGCUUCACUCUCCGUUCGCGCCACAACCACCUCUUAUCGGGCCUCCUUCCGGCCCAAGCCCACCUCGGGGCCCACCAGGGUCCGAAUGUCCCUCCGCGAUGACGGCCCCGCCAUCGCCGUCGUCGGCGUCACCGGCGCCGUUGGCGAGGAGUUCCUCUCCGACCGCGACUUCCCCUACCGUUCCAUCAAAAUGCUGGCCUCGCAGCUCUCCGCCGGCCGCCGCAUCAUCUUCGAGGACAGGGACUACGUCGUGGAGGAGCUCACAGCGGAUAGCUUCGACGGCGUCGACAUUGCGCUCUUUAGCGCCGGCGGUGGUAGACUAUAGCUCCGCAUUUGGGAUGGACGAGAAGGUGACGCUGGUUAUUCCCGAAGUGAAGCCCCAAACGAUGCAACACAUCAAAGUUGGAACGGGAAAAGGCGCUCUGAUUGCGAACCCUAAUUGCUCCACCAUUAUUUGCUUGAUGGACAUACUAAUUAAUAUCAAUUAUAACAAAUAAUGAACGUUUCUGGUCAUUUCUUGUACUUCGCGUUAUUUCAUAACAGUAGUUUUUUUAAAUAAAUUAAGAAAAAUAUUCAUUUUUAAAUUUAAUGCACUUUUAAAUAAUUUGACUAUUAUAAACAUAAUCACUUAUAAAAAUAAUUUUAGAGUAGUUGAUAUAAUUAAAAUAAAAUAUUUUAUUAUUAAAGUAAAAAUUAUAUAUAAAUAAAAAAUAGGUUUUAUUUUAAAAUAAUAUUCAAUUUUAUAAAAGUUUUUUCUUUUUGUCUUUUUUUUUUUAUAUUUCUAACCAUAUUUUUUCGUGAGGUUGAUAAUAGAAUCUCACUUUGGAUUUAUGGGAAUGAAUAAUGAAUUAGUUUUUAGUUUUCUAUUUAUCUAUAUAUAAAGGUGAUACGGUGACAAAUUCCAAAAUUUUAUUAUAAUGUUUGCUUUGUUGAUUGAAAUAGAUGUUAAUUGAUGAAAAAGAUUGAAAGUUUUAAACCCAAUACACCCCUCACGUCGAGGUUAGGUGGACUGAUAAGUUCAGCAAAAUCUCGUUAUGAUAGUUUUUAGAUGACUCUGAUACCACAAUAAAAAAUAAACUUUAAAUUUAACUCAACCUUACAAAACUAAUUUAUAAAGUGAGCUAUGUAUCCCUAGUCGAUGUAGAAUCUCUAACAAUGAUUUAAAUGAAUUGUUAUAUGCUUUAUGAAGUUUAACCUUUAUUUUUACUUGACAAAUUGGAUUUUAAUGAGGUAUAUAUGCUCUCAGCAUCAAAUCCGCUUAACGAAAUUUAUAUGUGUCAAGCGAAUUUGGACAUGUAGAGUUUGAUGUGCUCUUGGCCUCAAAUCCGCUCAAUGUUUUUUUUUCCUGUACUUAAGCAAACUUACAUCCAGAUUUUGGAGUACUUUCGAACUCAAAUUUGCUCAAAGAAAUUUUCUUAUGGUAAGCAAAUUUAAGCGGCUAUUGUUUGGAUGUUCUCUGCCUCAAAUUCGUUCAGUGAAAUUUUCCUGUGCUAAGGAGAUUUCUCUGGGCUUAAGCCCCAACUUCAUGGGCUCGACCCAUUUUGACGACAUUUGUCAUCUUUGCUUAGAUAUCUUUUGGUUUGUUUUCUAUAGGUCAUGAAAUUGAAUUAAAUCUUUUGAAAUUUAUCAUUUUGUAAAUUGUAAGUGAUUACAACUUUCUAAUGUUCAUGCAACAUGUGUUUAAAAUAAGUAAAUCUAACAAAUAAAUACUCGUUACAUAUUCAAUGGAAAGCUUUUUCUUUUAAUUCUUUGGUGUUUUAUUUUGAUGAUGUAUAUAUUUGAAAAUCAAUGUAUGAAUGGAUAAUGCUUUAUGAUAUAAUAAUAUUACAAUGUAAAUGUUAUUUAUAUACUAUCACAUGAUAAAUUAAAAUUUAAUAAGAUAGUUAAGGAUGUUAUAAUUAUUCUUUUAAUUUAUUUUAUUUCACUGUAUAUUUAGGUGUAUUACGUAGAAUGUAUAGUUAAAAAAAUAAUGUUAUUUUGAAAUUUAAAGAAUGACGUAUAGAAAUAAACAAGCUUUUGUUAAAAUUAUACUAUUUGAAAAGGAACACAGAACAAUAUUGACAAUUAUACUUUUACUUAUUACUUAUUUUAAUUUAUUAUAUUCAUGAGUAUUAUUUUUUUUAAACAUAGAUAUUGGAUAAAAAAUAUAAAUAACAUUUAUUUAUUUCAAAUUUAAAAAUCUUUAAAAUAAAAUUAAAUAAUAUUUUUAAUUAAGAUGUGUUUUUUAACAAUUUUUUUAAUUUAAAAAAUAAUUAAUUCGGAGGAUGAUUAAAGAAAUAUUAACAAAUUAUUUCUGCGUUUAUAAUAAACCUUCAAUAAUAUUUGUACUUUCUAGCAUAUAGAAUACUUAAUGGAUCCCUUUGUGAUUUUUCUUUUCUAAAGUGCAAUUGAUAUUUUAAAUGUUUUUCUAUUUAAUUUUCCUUUCUUAAUGACACAUUAAAGGGUUCAGUGCACGAUUAAUUAUUCUCACCUUAGAUUUCAUUCAUCUCAUUCCAUUUCCACACUCAAAUCAUUCUCACAUUUUUUUCUACCUAUUUCACAAAGUUUUAUGUAAAAUAUGGAAAUUAAACUAAAAGAACCCUACUUAUAUAUUAAUAUUCAACAACUUAAAAUAUUACUAUGCAAAUUAAUCUUUCUUAAUAAUGUUAUGUAAAAAUUAAAAUGUAGUUUAGUCAUUCAUACUUAGAUGGAUAAAGAUGGUUUUAGAAAAAAAAUGCAUUUUAUUUCAAAUCUAUUACUUAUAAAAUGAGUUAUAAAAUGAGGUUUGUGAUAUUUAUUCAAAAUUUAAAUUAUAUUAUGCAUUUAUGGUUUUAUGUUUUUAAAGAAAUCAGAAACUUAGAAAAGCUCCUAAAAACUACUGAAAUCCAUAAGAUGAUAAUUAAUAAACAUCCUCUCUUAAUAACAUAACAUAUAAGAUAGGAGUCUUUACACUUAUAUUCUUCAAACAAUUAUAAGCUGUCUUCAACUUUACUGUUAAACUACAAUUAUAAAGAAUUAACAAUCUCACACACCAACAACAUUUAUAAGCCAUCACUCACAUGAAACAAGGUGCCUCAAUGUGAAAAAACCAAGAUCAAUAAGAAAUGAGGUUCCACUUAACCAAGCUGAGAAUUUUCUGGUUUUCCAACUCCAUGCACAAACCUAAUACAAUGAUAUGAUAUUCAAUCAGCAUUAAUUGGCAUAAACAGGUACAUUGUUGUAAAACUGGGAUUAUAAGGUUCCAUAGGAUGGAGAAAAGUAAGAAGAGGAUUUACCAAUUACCCUUUCAAAUGGAGCUCCUCAGGAUUUCAUAAUGCCUUCACUGCAAAUGCAACCCAAAUAUGCUAAAAAAGUUAAUGAAACUAUAUAUGAAGAGUUUCAAGAAAAUGCAACUCUGGGACAACAGAGAAACCCAUCUCAUGCUGAACAGAAACAUCAAACUAUAUCUAACAAUAACUUAGAAAUCUUUGUCAACAAUUGAACGAACCCACUCCUAAAAUGCCAUUGAAAAUGUAAAUAAAACAAAAUAAAUUAAAAACGAGAAAUUCAUAAUAAAAAUUCAACGUGUUGAAACUUAUGAUAACUCAGUUUAGAUCCUGACCAAUGAAAGACUAAUUAGCAGAAGAGGAAGAGACUAGUUGACAGGGUAGCUUUCGGCCUUUCUCUUCCUAUCUUUCCUUGUUUCUCUUGAAGACUGUGCAACAUUGCUUCCACUGGAUUCUUCAAUGUCAACAUCACCACCAUAUUUAUCAUCUUUCUUUUUGGUAUAAAGGGGGCAUAUGCCGCAUUCUUUUAUUGUGAUGUCUGAUGCCAUCACUCUCACACCUGAUUUGUAACUAUACAGACUGAUCUCAAAAGUGAAGCUGCGAGCAUCACAGACCCUAAGGCUCUUGCGGCUCGCCGUUAGGGACUCCAUGUUAAAUUUCCACACGAAUGUGUGAUCUUCAUCAACACAUCUGUGUUCACCAUUCCAUUUGAAAUAGCUGUUUAACACAUCAUUAUUUAGAAUGAUCUGUGUGCCAUCAUCAUCAUCAGAUUCAAAUUUUAGACUGUAACCAAAAGAACCAUAUCUACAUUUAACAGCUUUCGUAUCUAACACUCCAAAAACCACACACAAAGCGAAACCAGUGAGCCUAUCAUCGCUGCAGAAACUUAAAUCUUCAUUUAUAGUCACUGAAUGUCCCUUCCCACGAGAAUGGAACCAACGAGGAACUGCAUUCCCUGGAAAACAGAAGAACACAGACCUAUAUGCAUCGUCGGUCAUCCUAACCCAUGCAUCCUCCUCAAUGUUAGCACGAGCACCUGAAUCCAGUUGCUGAGCAUUGGUGAAAUGAAAUUUGAAGACACCCUCUUUGGAGUUUGAGAAGUUUGGAACAAGAGAAUUUGACAUCACUCUUCUGAUGGAUGGGCAAUCCAAUGCCACGAGUUGUUUUAGAAAUGGUGGAAUCUGUGGGAUGGAUUCAAGUUUUUUGCAGUCGCUUAAAUCGAGCGAGUUCAAGCUUGAAAGAUGAGCAAUGCUCUCAGGAAGGUUCACGAUUCCGCUAUCACGCAGUGACAGUUCCAUUAAUGACGUCAAGCGACCGAUGUGGCUUGGGAUUUCUGUUAAUUUGGCACACCCCGAACAAUCAAGUUUAGAGAGAAGCUUCAGAUUAACAAUGGAGUUUGGAAGUGACUCGAGAUGAAUGCACUCUUGGAGUUCCAGGGAUCGAAGAUUAACGAAAUUGCCAAAUGAGGAAGGCAGUUCUUUAACAGCCGUAGAUGUUAAGUUAAUGUGAGCAAAAGUAUGAGCCGGCUCCGCGAUCUCUGGGAAGGUCCUCAGCCUUGAGCAACCACGCAAAUCAAGGUUCCUCAACUUCAAAUUGAAAAUGGUGCUUGGAAAAGUUUGAAGUGAAUUACAGUGGGUAAGGUCUAACUUGCAUAGUCUGGUGAGGGUUCCAAUGGAAGAUGGAAUAAUCUCAAGAUUCAAGCAACUGCGCAAACUCAGUCCUUGAAGCCCUACCAAACGGCACAAGGAUGAAGGUAGUGCCUGUAUGGCUGUGCCGUCUAAGAUGAGCACCACUAGAUCUUCCAACGUGUCCUGAAUCUCGGGUAAAUUUUCCAAUUUUGAGCAACCACUGAGAGAAAGUUUCUUUAUGAAUUUCAUAUCAGAAAGGUGAAAUGGAAAGAUUGUAAGGGAAGAACAGUGAGAGAGAUCUAAGUAACAGAGCUUCUUGCGAUUAAAGUUGAAGUGACAGAGCUUCAUGAGUUUUGUGAACACUUUAAAACAUAUAGUAUCAUUAGCCACUUCUUCUUCCUUAUAUCUGUCAAAAGUAAUUGAGAAAAUUUCACUGGAAGUUGGGAAAAAAGGACCACGGUGUCGACGUUUACCACGCCGUCCUGAGAAAUUCGUCAUAUCCGGUUCCUGACGAGGGAAUAUUGAGAAAGUUUGAAGUUGACGCUCCAGUAUCACAUGAGGGAAUCUGGGUUUACUGAUCGAAAACAUAUUAAGCUUCGGACAACGGGAAAGAGUAAUCCAUCCUGGUGAUGUGGAUAAAAUGUUGCUGGGAAUAUUUACACUAUUCAGAUCAUUACAAUCAUCUAAACAUAAACAACUGAGCUUGUUGAGGAAUAUCCAAGAGUGAACUUCAAUCAACUUUUCACAACUUUUCAGAAUUAUUUCUUCAAUAUUUGGUGACAUAGAAAGGUCUGGUAUUCUAGUAAGUUUCCGAGAAUAACUCAGGUCGAGCCUUUUCAAGUUGGGUAAAUUCUGCCACAAAUAGGAAAUGAAUGAGGUAACAAAUAAAAACUACUUUAUCUAUUUUUCUUCGGUAAAAUAUUAGCUACAUCAUCUAAUCUAUUCACUUUAUAUUUUACAUUACUUCAAAACCACUGUUAAAAAAAAUCACACUGUCAACUAACAAAACUGUGGCUAUAAAUUUAAUAGUUAUUAUAAAAAACCACAAAAUUUAACGUGUUUUUGUUCCCUACCUCAAAUUACAUCCUAAUAAUUUGAACCUAAACUUAUUAUGUAUUUAAAAACUGAUGAUAGUAAUUUAUAAUCGAUGACAGUGUGGAAAUACUUUAUAUCAUGCAUGUAUCAACUGACAAAAUAAAAUGGUGUUGUCUGAUGAUAGUAAUUUAUAAUCGAUGACCAUCUUUCCAUAAUUUAUUUUAUUAAAUACAUAAUUUGUUGUAUAUUAUAUUGAAGUUUAUGUUAUAAUAAUAAAAAAAUACUUAAUUAGGUUUUGAGUAUCCAGUAAGACAUUUUUAAUUAAUUUUUUUAUUAAAUUUUUUAAUUAUUUAAGUACUCAAAUUUUUUAUAUUUCCAAUAGAAUAUAUGUCAUUUUUAAUUUUUGAGUUAAUUGGGUGAUACAGAAAUUAUCUUGUCACAUGAUCUUACUUACUUGUCUUUAUGUAUUAAGGAAUAUGAAGUUUUAUGAUUGGCCAUUAGACUAUAUACCUAAAAAGAGGAUGCAAACUCUUCUACAUGCUACUAAAUUUAUAACUAUCUUUAAUUAGAAACAUGCUGAGUAUGAUUCUUAUGAUAUAUGUAUAACUGUGUGGUUCAAAUAAAAGAAAUUUCAAAUCGAAUAAUGUGGAGAAGCACAAAGGAAUUGCAAAUGAAAACCAGUAGAUGUAUAAUACAGAAAACAUGCUUGUAUAACUUAUUUUUGUCUUUGAAAGUUUAGAACACAAAGAAACAUAGAUAGCUUGAAAAACCUGAUCUCCUUCCCAGAGUUGUUCAAGAUGGCAGUAUGGCAUUUCGAGGGUCACUAGAUUUUGCGGGCAAAAGUUUGGAGGCAAAGAUCUUUGAGGGAAAUGUUUCCAAUAAAGAAUCUUUAGAGUGUCUGGCAGACCUACAAUAGAUGAUUCAAGAGACACAUUUGACGUGUAUUUUGGCGUGUUGAGCAUAAGCAUCCUAAGAUUGUCCAUCUUUUCGAAACUUUGUGCAUGUACUACAACUUCAUUUACUUUGCUCGUAUCUAGUGAUAUACACUGUAUUGCAUCUAACCCCUGAAAGUAAAUCAAUGUAAUUAGAAAAAAAAAGCAUGAAAUGUUGCUGUAUGGUUAUGGGCAGAUUGAUGAGAUAUGGUAACCUUCGGAUACUGAUCAUGAAGUGACAUAAAGGAGAAGGAAGCGUUACUGAAGGAGAGUAAUGGAAAUUUAUGAGAAAUUAAGCCGUUGGUUACAGAGACUAGGUAGGGACCGAGUCAUCUAUACCAGGGACCGAGUCAUCUAUAAGAGGAGGCAGAGACGAAGAGUAGGGGUAGGAAAAAAAGAUAUGGUUUUUAUAUUAUCUUUGAUGCUCUAGCUAAGGAUCAUCUGUCCUAAAACAGUUGCAUUUCUGGAUGUUUAAUGACAGCUCAAUAGUUUGCAGUUUUUUCACAAAGUAACAACAGAAUAUACCUUGUUUUUUCUUAAAACAUCACAAAUUUCCUCAGCAUUAAACAGUCGGCUGCGUUUUCCAGGAUGCCGACGACACUCUUUACGAACAAUUUCUUGACCCAUUUCUUGUAUUAGAUCGUGCAUCAUAAUAAUACCAUUAAAGACAGAUAUUAGGCACCUAUCUUUGAGAACAUCCAUUACAAUCUUAGUAGAGAAACCAUUGCAGUCAUCAAGUAUUUCUGCCAGCACAAUCUCCUGGUAUCCUCUAUAAAAGCAAGCAAUGUCAAGAAAUAUAUUCUUCUCCACCUCCUCGAGCCCAUCAUAACUUAAUUUUAAUACAUUGAAAAUACCAUGAUGUUGGCCCUUUUUCAACUUUUGCAACUGACUUUCCCAUGCUUCUUUUGUUCUGUCACAAAGCAAUGAGCCCAAAAUCUGGAGAGCUAACGGAAUCCCUUUUGCAUAACUCAACACCUUUCCUGACAGUUCCUUGUAAGCAAUUUCUUCUGAAGAUUUUUGUUUAAAAGCAUGUAAACUAAAAAGUCUUAGAGAAUCAUCAGAAUUCAACUCCUUAACUUCGUAGAUAUCAUCAGCUCUAGCAUUCUUAAGCACUUGUCUGUCUCUACUGGUCAUAAUGAUUCUACUGCCCUGCCUAAAACUAUCACUCCAUCCUAUUAAUUUUUGAAGUUGAGCUGAAUCGGUAACAUCAUCAAGAAUGAGGAGAGCCUUUGUCCGUUUGAGCCUUUCUUUGUAAUAUGGUAAAGAAGAAGAUUUCUCUUCCUUUAGAAGCUCAGACAGAUAUUUUGUUCUGAUACUAUCUAUUCCAUCUCUUUGUAUUUUUUCUUGAACGUCUAAAACAAGGCUGCUGGAAUCAAACUGCAAUGCCAAUUUCUGAUAUAUUUGAUCACAAAUUGUACUUUUUCCUAUUCCUCCCAUGCCCCAAAUUCCUAUGAUCCGAACAUCCGGUGACUCAGGAUGCAACAAGGACUGAAUUCCUUCAAUAUGUUUUUGAAUGCCGAUGAUUCCUUGAUCAUAACUGGUGGAAUAAAGAUUCAAUUUUCCCAAAAUAUCUUCCACAAUUUUUUCAACAAGUUUGUGGUCAUUCCUGGCAGAUGAUUUAGAAAAUAAAGUAUAAGAAUUCAAGCACAAAAGCUAAACUAAACUAAAGAAAAAUUCAGAGUCAAGAGGAGUGAACAUCAUUGAAUAGAUUCACAUAUCGAUUCUAGUUUCGAGUUCUGGAUAAAAUAAAUAAAUUAAAAAGUUGAAGGUAAGUUUAGGACGUUAUCUUCCUAUAUUAGUUUGGUUGGUUUAGUAAUUGCAAAUCAAGAUCGCAGAAAUUCUACAGUAACCGUAUGUGACUUCUGAUAAUAGGGAGCAGAUUUGUAGGUACAAAGUUAAGCUAUAACAUGUGAUAUGGUUCAGAUCCAUGACCGACUAAGAGAAAUGAAAAAAGAAACACUUGAUUUAUGGUGAGAUGAACACAAUUUUAGUAAAUGAAAAGAGAUCCUGAUUAUCUAAUAAAUAUAAUGACCUGGUGACUUUUGAAUCCCAGCCUGCAAGUUCAGCAGCUUCGGUUAGAGCAUCCUUCCAUCCUUGCACUCUGUCCAUGUCGUGCUUAAGCCGCUGUUCAUGCUCAUCAAAUGCUUCUUUGAAUCUUUGUUCCUGCUUCCUAAUAGUUGAUGGAUCCACCUUGUAGAAAACAGGUAUCACAUCCCUUCCAUAUCUCUUCUUGCAUUCAAGUAUCUUAGUGAGUUCAUUCAAGCACCAAGUGGAAGAUGCAUAGUUUUGGGAGAAAACGAUGACAUAAAUCUUUGAUUCUUCUAUUGCAGAGAGUAGUGCAGGUGAAAUUUCUUCGCCCCGGGGUAGUCUCUCGUCAAUAUAUGCUUGAAUGUUCUUCCUUUGCAGUGCUGCAUGAAGGUGACGAAUGAAGUUGUCACGUGUGUCUUCCCCUCUGAAGCUGAGAAACACAUCAUGCUUUGUUAGAGAAGCAGACACGGGGAAUGAUGAAGGACUUCCUGACAUUGGAAUCAAUUUUCUCUCUUUUCUCUUGCAACUCUCAGUGCCUUUGUUUGUACACAAAUCAACUCUUGGAAAAGUCUUUGAAUUUUCUCAAAAGUAUCUUUCACAGAUCACGCACGCGUGGAAACAUAGCUGUGUUAAAAUCCUUAUUUAAGUUUUAAUUGGGCCUUGUAGUGGGCUUUGUAAUGUGCUUUUCUUUUCUCCUACAUUGCUUUAUAUAUACACCUCAGCGUUUGCUUUCUACAUUUCAUUUUACAAAAUACAUUCUCUCAUUUUCUACCUUUUAUAUUGUCUGAUUCCGUUCUCUCUUUAUUUUUUUUCAAAUCUCUUUUGCUUACAAUUUUUUUUUCUUUUUUAAGAAAUGUACUUUUUCAAGUUUAAUUUAAUUUUAUAAAACAGUCAUCUUUCUACAGUAUUAUCAUCUCUUACGUGAGAUUAUUAUAUAUUAUUUGGUGAUCUAAGUAAACUUUUAAUCCAAUAAACUUUAAAAAUAAUUCUAAUACUAUAUUAAAAAAUGAAAUUUAAAUCUAAUUCUAUUUUAUAAAAUAUAUUUAUUCAAUGCUAAAAUAUCUCUAAUUGAGUAGGGAUGUUCAAAAUACUUAUUGGUUCUUGAUUUUCACUUUCACUUUUAAGGUUUUUCUUCGCAGACACGUAGUAAACAGAAAUACAAAAAUAUGAGUCAAUGGAAGAGUCUAACGAUUCGCAGAAUAUUAUGGUGUCUAGCUUUAUACCGCAUUAAUGCGAGGAGUUUCUUUAAUAUUUUUACUCAAUUUAUUUAUUUUUAAUUCUUUUUUUUUUCACACCUUUUACAAAUAAAGAAUCGUAUUUCUUUAAUAUAUUUUAGAAAAUAACCACUAAACCUUAUUAUAAAAUAUAUUUAUGAAAUGCACGUGUAAGAAUAACAGGAAAAAUAUUACUACGAAAAACAAUAUAUUAAUAUUAAUAUGUUUCUUAAUAAAUUUCAUACCCACUGUCUAUUUAUAAAUUAAUAUAAUAUAAAUAUCUUUAAUGAUGUUUUUGUGGGUAGCUUAUUUCUCUAACGCAGAAUAUUAUGGUGUCUACUUUUAUAAAACAUUACAUUUUGAUUUUAAUAUUUAUUAAAUAUUUUUUAUUUGGGAUGAAGUAACGAUGAUGAAUCGAAUGUGUUUUGAAGUCUGACAUAACUUUUAGAGAUGUUAUGAGAACGGUUAAUGACGGAAAUUAUCAAAAACCUUUUGGGGGAAGGUUGUGGUUUUGGGAGGUGAUUUCAGGUAAAUAUUGUUAGUGGUAAAAAAAGGAUUAAGAUAUGAUGUUGUGAAGUCAACAAUCAACUUUUCUCAUUUGUGGUUAAAUUGUCGAGUCUUAAAACUUUCUCAAGGAAAUCCAACACGAUCUAUUGAUUGAGCCCACAAAAACACCUUUGUUAUCAUUGGUGAAUUUUGUUUAUCCUAAUUUAUUGACUGAUAUGUUAUGUCCUGAGUACUUUGAGUAUGGAGCAAUACUUUGUCCGACAACUGAAUCAGUAGAGCAAGUGAAUGAUUUUAUUUUAUCUCUGUUAAGUGGUAAAUAAAUAAAUUAUCUUAGUUCGGAUACACCUUGCCAAUUAGAUUAAGAUCAAGAAUUUAAAGUGAAUGGUUCACUUCUGAGUUCUUAAAUGAGAUAAAAUGUUCAGAGAUACUAAAUCAUCGCCUUCAUUUGAAAAUUGGCGUGCCUAUUAUGCUUUUGAGAAAUAUUGAUCAAACCAACGGUCUUUGUAAUGGAACAAGGUUGCAAGUUAUUGAUUUGAAGAAAAUGUUAUUUGUGCAAUAGUUCUAACAGGAACAAAUAUUGGUGAUAAAAUCUUUAUUUCAAUAAUGAAUUUGAUCCCUUUAGAUGUAGGUAUGCCAUUCAAAUUCUAGAGAAGACAAUUUCCAAUAACUUUAUGUUUUGCAAUGACAAUUAAGAAAAGUCAAAGUCAAUUAUUGACCAAAGUUGGUUUAUAUUUUUCACGUCCAAUUUUCACACAUUGAUAGUUGGAUGUAGCUAUUUAUAGAGUUAGAAAGAAAAAAAUUUAAAAAUUCUAACUCUUGAUGAAGAUGGGAAUGCAACAAACAAGAAAAAGAAAAUGUUUACACUGAAACUUUUGACAAUAUUUAAAAACAAUAGAAUUAUAUGAUAAACUUGGAAUAAUGGCUAAUUCUCCCUGCACCCAAUAUUUUUGAACAUGCAACUUUUAAAUUUGCUCCCUUGUAAUUAUAUUUUCUUAUGUGUGAUGUAGUAACAGUUGCCUUAUUUAAAAUGUUACUAAAUAACAUAUCAUUUAUAUCUGUUAUUUUUAUUCUGUUCUGAUUUUAUAUAUAUGUUAACGAAGUUGAGAAUUUUCUGAUUUUACAGGUCCAUGCACAAACCUAAUAUAAUGAUAUGAUAUUCAAUAUCAAGAGGUACUUGUCGUAAAACGGGGAAUAUGAGAGACUCCAUAGAAUGAAGAAAAAGUAUAAAGAGGAUUUACAAAUUACCCUUUCAAAUGCAGCUCCUCAGAAUUUCUUAAUGCCUUCACUGCAAAUGCAACCCAAAUAAGCUAAAGAAGUUAAUCAAACUAUACAUUAAGAGUUUCAAGAAAAUGAAACUCUGGAACAACAGAGCAACCCAUCUCAUGCUCAAUAGAAACAUCAAACUAUAUCUAACAAUAACUUAGAAAUCUUUGUCAACAAUUGAACGAACCCACUCCUAAAAUGCCAUUGAAAAUGUAAAUAAAUAAAUAAAAAUUAAAAAUGAGAAUUCAUAAUAAAAUUUCAUCGUGUUGAAACUUGUAAUUUAGAAGUAUUACGAUAAGCCAGUUUUGAUCCUCGCGAAUGAAAGACUAAUUAGCAGAAAGACUGUGCAAAAUUCCUUCCACUGGAUUCUUCGAUGUCAACUGAUUUGGUAUAAAGAGGACAUAUGCCGCAUUCUUUUAUUGUGAUAACUGAUUUCAACUCUCUCACAAGUAAUUUGCGAUUUGACCGAUUUGGCCGCAGAAAGGGAUCAUCAUAAUCAUGCGAACUGAUCUCAAAAGUGAAGCUGCGAGCAUCACACAGCCUAAGGCUCAUGCCGCUUGCCCUUAGGGACUCCAAGUUAAAUUUCCACACCAAUGUGUGAUCUUUAUCAACACCUCUCUCUUCAUCAUCCCAUCUGAAAUAGUUGUUUAACACAUCAUUAUUUGGAAUUAUCCGUGUGCCAUGAUCAUCAGAUUCAAAUUUUAGGCUGUAACCAAAGGAACCAUAUCUACCUUUAACAACUUUCGUAUCUAACACUUCAAAAACCACACACAAAGCGAAACCACUGAGCCUAUCAUCGCUUAAAAAACUUAAAUCUUCAUUUAUAGUCACUGAAUGUCCCUUCCCACGAAAAUGGAACCAACCAGGAACUGCACUCCCUGGAAAACAGAAGAACACACACCUAUAUCUAUCGUCGGUCAUCCUAAGCCUUGCAUCCUCCUCAAUGUUAGCACGACCACCUGAAUCCAGUUGUUGAGCAUUGGUCAAAAGAAAUUUGAAGAAACCCUCUUUGGAAUUUGACAAGUUUGGAACAAGAGAAUUGGACAUCACUCUUCUAAUGGAUGGGCAAUCCAAUGCCACUAGUUUUUUUAGAAAUGGUGGAAUCUCUGGGAUGCAUUCAAGCUUUUUGCAGUCGCUUAAAUCAAGCGAUUUCAAGCUUGAAAGAUGAGCAACGCUCUCAGGAAGGUUCACAAUUCCGCUAUCACACAGUGACAGUUCCAUUAAUGACGUCAAGCGACCGAUAUCUCUAGGGAUUUCUGUUAAUCUGGCACACCCCGAACAAUCAAGUUUAGAGAGAAGCUUGAGAUUAACAAUGGAGUUUGGAAGUGACUCCAGAUCAGUGCAUUUGCGGAGCUCCAGGGAUCGAAGAUUAACCAAAUUGGCAAAUGAGGAAGGCAGUUCUUUAACAGCCGUACAUAUCAAGUUAAUGUGAUCAAAAGUAGGAGCCGGCUCUGUGAUCUCUGGGAAGGUCCUCAGACUUGAGCAACCACACAAAUCAAGGUUCCUCAACUUCAAAUUGAAAAUGGUGCUUGGAAAAGUUUGUAGUGAACUACAGUGGGUAAGGUCUAACUUGCAUAGUCUGGUGAGGCUUCCAAUGGAAGAUGGAAUAAUCUCAAGAUUGAAGCAACUGCACAAACUCAGUUGUUGAAGCCCUACCAAACGGCACAAGGAUGAAGGUAGUGCCUGUAUGGCUGUGUCGUCUAAGAUGAGCACCACUAGAUCUUCCAACGUGUCCUGAAUCUGGGGUAAAUUUUCCAAUUUUGAGCAACCACGGAGUGAAAGUUGCUUUAGGAACUUCAUAUCAGAAAGGUCAAAUGGAAAGAUUGUAAGGGAAGAACAGUGAGAGAGAUCUAAGUGACAGAGCCUCUUGAGAUUUUGAAAGUUUGAGGGUACACCUUCGAGUAUUGUCGACACUUCACAUUGUGAGUAUAUAGUAUUAUUACCCACUUCUUCUUCGUUAUAUCUGUCAAAACUAAUUGAGGAAAUUUCACUGGAAGUUGGGAAAAUACCUUUAGCAUUAUGGAAUUUAACAGUCCCUCCCAAAAGUAAACUUGAGAAAGUUGGACGUUGACCCUCCAGUUUCACAUGAAGGUAUCUGGGUUGACUGGUUGAAAACAUUUCAAGCUCCUCACAGUGAGAAAGAAUGAUCAAUCCUGGAGAUGUGGAUAAAAUCUUGUUGGGAAUAUUUACACUUUUGAGAUGAUAACAAUGAUCUAAACAUAAACAACUGAGCUUGCUGAGGAAUAUCGAAGAGUGAACUUUAAUCAACUUUUGACAAUAACUCAGAAUUAGUUCUUCAAUAUUCGGUGACAGAGAAAGGUCUGGUAUUCUAGUAAGUUUCAGAGAAUGACUCAGGUUGAGCCUUUUCAAGUUGGGUAAAUUCUGCCACAAAAAGUAAAUGAAUCAGGUAACAAUGAAAAACUAAAAUAAAGUUUUAUGCAAUUUUAUCUAUUUUUCUUCGGUAAACUAUGAGCUACAUCAUCUAUCGAGUUUAUAUUUUACAUAAAACCACUGUUAAAAAAAUCACACUGUUAACUAACAAAAUUAUGGUCACUAUAAAUUUUAUAGUUAUUAUAAAAAUUCACAAAAUUUAACGUGUUUUUGUUCUCUACCUAAAAUUACAUCCUAAUAAUUUGAACCUAAGCUUAUUAUGUAUUGAAAAACUUACUAUAGUAAUUUAUAAUCCAUGACAAUGUCGAAAUACUUUAUACUAUGCAUGUUAAAAUUUGAUAAAAUGUCGAAAUACUGACAAAAUAAAAAUGGUGUUUUCCGAGAGUUAAAAUUAAACUUUAGUUAAAAUAAGUCCAUCUUUACAUAUUUUAUAAUUUGUUGUAUAUUAUAUUGAAGUUGAUGUUAUAAUAAAAAAAUGACUUAAUUAAUCGAAAAAUGUGGAGAAAACACAAAGAAAUUGCAAAUGCUUGUAUAAUUUAUUUUUAUCUUUGAAAGUUUAAAAGACAAAGGAACAUAGAUAACUUGAAAAACCUGAUCUCCUUCCCAGAGUUGUUCAAGACGGCAGCCUGGCAUUUCGAGGAUCACUAGAUUUUGUGGGCAAAAGUUUGGAGGCCAAAAUCUUUGCGGGAAAUCUCUCCAAUAAAGAAACUUUAGAGUGUCUGGCAGACCUACGAGAGAUGAUUCAAGAGACACAUUUGAUAUGUAUUCAGUUGAGUAGAGUAAAAACGUCCAAAGAUCAUCCAACUCUUUACGAGACACAUCUGAUAUGUAUUUAGUUUUAUUUUGCUCGUAUCUAGUAAUAUACACUGUAUUGCAUCUGACCCCUGAAAGUAAAUCAAUGUAAUUAGAAGAAAAAAACAUGAAAUGUUGCAUUGCAGGAUGUUUGAUGACAGCUCAGUGGUUUGCAAUUUUUCACAAAGUAAAUUAAUGACAGGUCAGUAGUUAUAUACCUUAUUCUUUCUUAAAACCUCACAAAUUUCCUCAGCAUUAAACAAUCGGCUGCGUUUUCCAGGAUGCUGAGGACACUCUUUACGAACAAUUUCUUUACCCAUUUCUUCUAUUAGAUCGUGCAUCACAAUUCUACCAUCAAUGACAGAUAUUAGGCCCCUAUCUUUCAGAAUAUCCAUUCCAAUCUUAGAAGAGAAACCAAAGUCAUCAAGUCUUUCUGCUACCUCAAUCUCCUCGUGACCUCUAUAAAAGCAAGCUAUGUCAAGAAAUAUAUUCUUCUCCUCCUCCUCCAGCCCAUCAUAACUUAAUUUUAAUACAUUGAAAAUACCAAGAUGUUGGCCCUUUUUCAACUUUUGCAACUCACUCUCCCAUGCUUCUCUUGUUCUGCCAUAAAGCAAUGACCCCAAAAUCUGGAGAGCUAACGGAAUCCCUUUUGCAUAUCUCAACACCUUUUCUGACAGGUCCAUGUAAGAUUUUUCUGCUGAAGAUUUUUGUUUAAAAGCAUGUAAACUAAAAAGUUUAUGAGAAUCAUCAAAAUUCAACUCCUUAACCUCGUAGAUAUCAUCAGCUCCAGCAUUUCUAAGCACUUGUCUGUCUCUACUGGUCAUAAUGAUUCUACUGCCCUGCCCAAAACUACCACUCCCUCCUAUUAAUUUUUUAAGUAUAGCUGAAUCGGUAACAUCAUCAAGAAUGAGGAUAGCCUUUGUCCGUUUGAGCCUUUCAUUGUAAUAUGAUAAAUCAGGGGAUUUCUUUAUCUCUUCCUUUAGAAGCACAGACAGAUAUUUUCUUCUGAUACUGUCUAUUCCAUCUCUUUGUAUUUUUUCUUGAACGUCUAAAACAAGGCUGCUGGAAUCAAACUGCACUGCCAAUUUCUGAUAUAUUUGAUUACAAAUUGUAGUUUUUCCUAUUCCUCCCAUGCCACAAAUUCCUAUGAUCCGAACAUCCGUUGACUCAAGAUGCAACAAGGACUGAAUUCCUUCAAUAUUUUUUUCAAUGCCGAUGAUUCCUUGAUCAUAACUGGUGGAAUAACGAUUCAAUUUUCUCAAAAUAUCUUCCACAAUUUCUUCAACAAGUGCGUGUUCUGGCCUGGCAGAUGAUUUAGAAAAUAAAGUAUAAGUAUUCAAGCACAAAAGCUAAAGUAAACUAAAGAAAAAUUUUACAGUAACCGUUUGUGACUUCUGAUACUAGGGAGCAGACUUGUAGGUACAAAGUUAAACUAUAAGAUCAGAUAUGGUUCAGAUCCAUGACCGACUAAGAGAAAUGAAAAAAGAAACACUUGAUUUAUGGUGAGAUGAACACAAUUUUAGUAAAUGAAAAGAGAUCCUGAUUAUCUAACAAAUAUAAUGACCUGGUGACUUUUGAAUCCCAGCCUGCAAGUUUAGCAGCUUCAGUUAGAGCAUCCUUCCAUCCUUGCACUUUAUCGUGCUUAAGGUGCUGCUCAUGCUUUUCGAAUGCUUCAUUGUAUCUUUGUUCCUGCUUCCUAAUAGUUGAUGGAUCCACCUUGUAGAAAACAGGUAUGACAUCCCUUCCAAAUCUCUUCUUGCAUUCAAGUAUCUUAGUGAGUUCAUUCAAGCACCAAGUGGAAGAUGCAUAGUCUUGGGAGAAAACGAUGACAUAAAUCUUUGAUUCUUCUAUUGCAGAGAGGAGAGCAGGUGAAAUUUCUUCGCCCCUGUUUAAUCUGUAAUCAAUAUACGCUUCAAUGUUCUUCCUCUGCAGCGCUGCAUAAAGGUGACUAAUGAAGUUGUCACGUGUGUCUUCCCCUCUGAAGCUGAGAAACACAUCAUGCUUUGUUAGAGAAGUAGACACGGGGAAUGAUGAAGAACUUCCUGACAUUGGAAUCAAUUUUCUCUCCUUUCUCUGCAAAUCUCAGAUUCCUUUGUUUGUACCAUUUCUACCUGAAGAAGUGUUUAAAUUUUCUCAAAAUACCUUGCACAGCGUGUUCUGGUCAGACAUAAAGAAAAAGACAAAUAUUAAGUUAAUAGAAUAGUCAACAAUUUAAAAAAUAAGUAUGAAAUAUAGAUAUAUAUCAUUAUCACGUGUGGAAGCUACGUCGUCUUGUAUUGGAUUUUCUAAUCUGCCUUUUAUCUUGUCUCAUUCUUCUUUAUCUUUUUUCUCUCAUCUCUCUUGCUUACGAUUUCUUUGCCUUUAUUCAGAAAUUUUAUUUAUAAUAAACCUUCAAUAAUAUUUGUACUUUCUAGCAUAUAGAAUACUUAAUGGAUCCUUUUCUGAUUUUUCUUUUCUAAAGUGCAAUUGAUAUUUUAAAUGUUUUUCUAUUUAAUUUUCCUUUCUUAAUGACACAUAAAAUGGUUCAGUGCACAAUUAAUUACUCUCACCUUAGAUUUCAUUCAUCUCAUUCCAUUUCCACACUCAAAUCAUUCUCACAUUUGUUUCUACCUGUUUCACAAAGUUUUAGUUAAAAUAUGGAAAUUAAUGUUCAAGAACCCUACUUAAUAUUAAUAUUCAACAAUUUAAAAUAUUAAAAUGCAAAUUAAUCUUUCUUAAUAAUGUCAUUUUUAUGUAAAAAAUAAAAUGUAGUUUAGUCAUUUAUACUUAGAUGGAUAAAGAUGGUUUUAGAAAAAAAAAUGCAUUUUAUUUCAAAGGUUAUCUAAGCUCUGAACUCAUUUAUGAAUUAAUAAUAAUAAAUAAUAUGUAAUUGUAUUCCAAUACCAUAUAAUUUUUUUUAUUGGGUGCGUUUCUGAUGAAUUAAUUAAUGCACUCUAGGGACAAUGAUCGCUCUAGUAUUUGAUUUUUUUAUUUAUUUUAAUGUUGAAAUUAUAGCUAUUUAGUACAGAUACUAUUGACACCGACACAGAUACGACACAGACACAGAGAUACUUAAAAUCUCUAAAAUGUAAGAUACAGAGACAUUAAUCUAUAUAUUAUAUAAUUAUGAAUUAUAUAAAUUAACAAUAAAGACUUAUGUGCACAAGUAUUUUGGAGAUUAUUUUUUAAGCAGAAAUAUGUUUUUCAUGACUGUUUCACAAAGAUUUGUUUCUUAUUUUUAUAAUCAUAAUAACAAUUUAUACCAUAAAGUUUGAAUUUUAGAAAAUUAAUGUAUUUUUUCUUUUUAAAAUUCCGUUAGAAUCGUACUAAAAUUGUAAAAAAUCUAACAAAUACAUUUUGAAUUGGACAUUUCACAAAUACAUGUCCUACCAGUAUCAUACGAAUGUAAACAAAAUUCUUUCUUCAUAUGCCGCAUUCUUUUACUGUGAUAACUCAUUUCAACUCUCUCACAACUGAUUCGUAAUCUGUGGGAUGCAUUAAAGCCUUUUGCAGUUAAAUCAAUAGUAUAUGAUGAUGUGAAUGUUAUUUAUAUACUAAAUAUAAUCACAUAGUAACUUCAAAUUUGAUAAGGUACAACAUGUUACCAUAUCUCUUUUAAUUUCUUUUAUUUCAUUAUAUAUUUAGGUGUAUUUAAUUUCUUUUUAUUUCAUUGUGUAUUUAGGUGUAUUACGUAAAAUAUAUAAUUAAAAAGAAAGAAGAAUAAUGUUAUUUUUAAAUUUAAAGAAUGACAUAUAGAAAUAAACAAGCUAUUUUGAAAUUUUUAGAUUUUACAAAACAUUACAUUUUGAUUUUAAUAUUUAUAAAAUAUUUUUUAAUUUCAUAUUUAAAACACAACACUUAGUUGAGUGUGUUCCUUAGUUACUUACCAAAUAACAACAUACAUCUUAUCGGGUCUUUUUGCGACCCGACCCAAACUCAUCUCGAUCCUAGUAGGGUUCGCAUCAUCUUCAAUUGAGGAGUAGAUUUGUCAGGAGGAAAAUAAAUUGAUUUAUAAGAACAUGUGAAGUUGUUUAGAUUGAGGAAUAAUAGAUGGAUUUUGAUUAUGAUUUAUGGUAAGUUUAAAAAAAAUAGAUUUGUUUCUUUUAACAUUUUUUGUAUUAUAAUUAUUUGCUGGCUGAAUUGUUUUGAGUUAACAUGUUUUCUUGGGGUAUGAUAUUGUGAGGUUUUAUUACAUGCAGGUACGUGAAUAUUUUUUUUAUUCUAGUUGUAUAAAUCAGGAAAAAAUGUUUUUCACAAUAUAAUUAUAAUAACCGUUUAACAACCUAAAUAAUAAUAAAAUAUUAACUCAUAUUAUUUAAUUAAAUUAUUAAAUAAAAAGUAGUAAAACUGAUUGUAGGAUGGGAAUAUGAUUAUUUUUAACUGCUAGCUCCUCAUUAUUCUUUUAUAAUAAAAAACACACUAGUAGGUGUUGAAAAUCGUAAUAUAACAAACAAGUUUUGACACACGUAGGUUUGGCAAUUGUUUUAAUAGCUGAAAAUAGUAAAACAAUUUUUAAUUACCACAAACUGCAUCUUAAAUCAUAAAAAAUAGCAUUUUUUAGUUCAUAUAUAAUAACAUUUCCAUAAAUAAAUCUCCCGCCGCCAUUGAUAUUAAUCAUUAAUAAUUUUAGAUAAUAUUUUUUACUAUAAAACAUUUAAUUGAGAUUGAAUUUUUAAUUCACACUUUUUGGUCAAAGAAUAAUAUAUUUCAUUUUUUUAUUUAUUAAAUAUUUUGUAUAAUGCUGAGAAAAAAAAAUCUCACACACACACACACAUAUAUAUAUAUAUGAUCCCUAUGUCCUACAAGUACAAUAUAACAUCGUUAGUAUAAUGAAUAAAAAUAAUGAGUAUUCAAAGUCGUGUAUUUACGUAAAAGAAUAACAUGAUUUUUAAAAGAACUCACAUUAUCAGUUUAAAUUUUGACGAUAAAAUACAUUAAUUAUAUAUAUUUAUUCAAAAUUUCAAUUAUAUUAUGCAUUAAUGGUUUUAUGCUUUUAGAGGAAUCAGAGAAACUUAGAAAAGCUUAAUGAAACCCUAUGAAUAAAGGAGAUGUAAAAGAAAGAGAAAAAGGAAGUGAGAAAAGAUGAUAAUUAAUAAACACCCACUCUUCAUAACAUAGAGUCUUUAAACCUAUAUUCCCUCAAACAGCAUUUAUAAGUUAUUAUCACCCACAUGGAAUAAGGUGCCUCAAUGUGAACAAACCAAGAUCAGUAAGAAAUAUGAGGUUCAAAUAACGAAGCUGAGAAUUUUCUGGUUUUACAGCUCCAUGCACAAACCUAAUACAAUGAUAUGAUAUUCCAUAGGAUGGAGAAAAGUAUGAUAUGAAGAGGAUUUACCAAUUACCCUUUCGAAUGCAGCUCCUCAGGAUUCCAUCAUGCCUUCACUGCACAUGCAACCCAAAUAUGCUAAAGAAGUUAAUCAAACCCAAAUAUAAAGAAUUUCUAGAGAAUGCAACUCUGGGACAACAGAGUACCCCAUCUCAAGCUGAACAGAAACAUUAAACUAUAUCUAACAAUAACUUAGAAAUCUUUGUCAACAAUGAACGAAUCCAACCGUAAAAUGCCAUUGAAAAUGUAAAUAAAACAAAAUAAAUUAGAUAUGAGAAAUUCAUGAUAAAAUUUCAACACUUGUAAUGUAGAAGCAUUACGAUAAGCCAGUUUUGAUCCUCACCAAUGAAAGUCUAAUUAGCAGAAGAGGAAGAGACUAGUUGACUGGGUAGCUUUCUGCAAUGCCUAUUUUAAGGUUACGCUUCCGGCAAAAAUAUAAUAGAAGACUGCUCUCAUGUCAAAGUUUCUCAUACAUAGAACAACCCGCAAAAGAGAUUAAACAUUCCAAAAGAUGUCUCAACAGAAAUGAAAUGAGAUCCUAACAACUUGUUGGGAAAGUACUAUUUUGCCUUCAAUUCCAUUACUUCCUUUUGCCUUUAAGAGUGCAGUCAUAAUCAUCAAAAUACUUAGACUUUGUGAUAUGUCUUUUGGGCUUGCUAUUCAUCUUUUGUUGCCUCCUCUUGAGCCAUAACACUUUUGGCCUUCCUCUUCCUAUAUUCCCUUGUGUCUCUUGAAGACUGUGCAACAUUACUUCGACUGGAUUAUUCAAUGUGAACAGCACCACCAUAUUCAUCAUCUUUCUUUUUGGAAUAAAGAGGGCAUAUGCCGCAUUCUUUUACUCUGAUAUCGGGCCACCAAUGGCUGAUCUCAAAAGUGAAGCUGCGAGCAUCACAGAGCCUAAGGCUCAUGCCGCUUGCCCUUAGGGACUCCAAGUUAAAUUUCCACACAAAUGUGUGAUCUUUAUCAAGAAAUCUGCCUGCAUCCGUCAAGUUUAACACAUCAUUAUUUGGAAUGAUCUGUGUGCCAUCAUCAUCAGAUUCAAAUUUUAGGCUGUAACCAAAAGAACUAUAUCUACCUUUAAUAUCAUUCGUAUCUAACACUUCAAAAACCACGCACAAAGAGAAACCAGUGAGCCUAUUAUCGCUGCAAAAACUUAAAUCUUCAUUUAUAGUCACUGAAUGUCCCUUCCCACGAAAAUGGAACCAACCAGGAACUGCACUCCCUGGAUAACAGAAGAACACAGACCUAUAUGCAUCGUCGGUCAUCCUAAGCCUUGCAUCCUUCUCAAUGUUAGCACGACCACCUGAAUCCAGUUGUUGAGCAUUGGUGAAAUGAAAUUUGAAUACACCCUCUUUGGAAUUUGAGAGGUUCCGAACAAGAGAAUUUGACAUCACUUUUCUAAUGGAUGGGCAAUCCAAUGCCACGAGUUGUUUUAGAAAUGGUGGAAUCGGUGGGAUGCAUUCAAGCUUUUUGCAGUCGCUUAAAUCAAGCGAUUUCAAGCUCGAAAGAUGAGCAAUGCUCUCAGGAAGGUUCACGAUUCCGCUAUCACGCAGUGACAGUUCCAUUAAUGACGUCAAACGACCAAUGUGCCUUGGGAUUUCUGUUAAUUUGGCACACCCCGAACAAUCAAGUUUAGAGAGAAGCUUCAGAUUAACAAUGCAGUUUGGAAGUGACUCGAGAUCAGUGCAUUUGCGGAGCUCCAGGGAACGAAGAUUAACGAAAUUGGCAAAUGAGGAAGGCAGUUCUUUAACAGUCGUAGAUGUUAAGUUAAUGUGAGCAAAAGUAUGAGCCGACUCCGUGAUCUCUGGGAAGGUCCUCAGCCUUGAGCAACCACGCAAAUCAAGGUUCCUCAACUUCAAAUUGAAAAUGGUGCUUGGAAAAGUUUGAAGUGAAUUACAGUGGGCAAGGUCUAACUUGCAUAGUCUGGUGAGGCUUCCAAUGGAAGAUGGAAUAAUCUCAAGAUUGAAGCAACUGUGCAAACUCAGUUGUUGAAGCCCUACCAAACGGCACAAGGAUGAAGGUAGUGCCUGUAUGGCUGUGUCGUCUAAGAUGAGCACCGCUAGAUCUUCCAACGUGUCCUGAAUCUCGGGUAAAUUUUCCAGUUUUGAGCAACCACUGAGACAAAGUUGCUUUAGGAAUUUCAUAUCAGAAAGGUCAAACGGAAAGAUUGUAAGGGAAGAACAGUCAGAGAGAUCUAAGUAACAGAGGUUCUUGAGACUUUGAAAGUUUAAGGGCACACCUUCCAAGAGACUGUUGAACACCUCUGAGUCUUCUGAGUCUGUAGCAUUAUUAGCCACUUCUAUAUUAUAUCUGUCAAAAGUAAUUGACAAAAUUUCACUGCUUGGGGAAAUUUCACUGGAAGUUGGGAAAUUUAUCUCUUUCGUCAUAUCCAGUUCCUGACGCUCCAGUAUGACAUGAGGGAGAAAUUUAUCUUCAUGUUUACUGAUUGAAAACAUAUUAAGCUUCCGACAAUGGGAAAGAGUAAUCCAUCCUGGUGAUGUGGAUAAAAUGUUGCUCGGAAUAUUUACACUAUUCAGAUCAUCACAAUGAUCUAAACAUAAACAACUGAGUUUGCUGAGGAAUAUCGAAGAGUGAAUUUCAAUCAACUUUUUACAAUAACUCAGAAUUAUUUUUUCAAUAUUUGGUGACAUAGAAAGGUCUGGUAUUCUAGCAAGUUUCCAAGAACGUGUCAGGUCGAGCCUUUUCAAGUUGGGUAAAUUCUGCCACAAAAAGUAAAUGAAUCAGGUAACAAAUAAUAACUACUUUAUCUAUUUUUCUUCCUAUUUAAACUAUUAGCUACUACUAUUGAGUUUAUAUUUUACAUUACUUAAAAACCACUGUUAAAAAAGCCACACUGUGGACUAACAAAAUUAUAUUUUAAAAUAUUAUUAAAGAUAAAAUAUGAAGAUAGGGUAAUUAAAUUAAAUAUAAUUUUUAUUUUUCAGAAAUGAUGAAAAUUAUAAUUAAAUUAACUAAAUUAUAUAAAAUUCCAUUUUAUUUACAUAACUCCUUUUCAUAUUAAAAAACUAUAUAAGAUCUUGAAACUAUAAUUAAUAUCUUAAAAAUUUAAAUAAUAAUAAUUAUUUCUACUCAUCCUUAAUUUUUGUUGGUGAAAUCUUGAUUUUUGGGAUAAUAUCACUUAAACUUAAGAAAUAUUUGACAUUAAUGAACUCUAAACAAAUUUAUAUAAGAAAUCAAGACAUCACUUUCAAUCCGAAAUCUUAAACUAAUAGGUUUAUGGAUUUUCUUUAUAUGUUGUUCAUCUUACCAAUUUGAACCCAAUGCGAGACUUUCAACUCUAAGAGAUGAAGUGGUGUACUUUAUGCUUCUAGGACUUGUUAGAUAUUGAAACAUGUACCAUUGCUAAAAUGUUUGAAUGAAGGAGAAGUCAAAGUCUCUCUCCUUUAGAGAUAUUCGCUCAAGUGGCAAGAGGUUGAUUAAGCAAGAGAGAGAUCGUAUUAAUUCUCUCUUCUAUGCAAUUGUUGUCGUUCAAACAAUGUGGAAUCAUUCAAGCAAAGAAAUCUUCUUUUGGGUUAGGAAACAAGGUUUUUCAAGCGAGAUAAACUCGUCUAAAGAAUUUAACUCUAGUAGUGAAAUGUUGUUGCCAUGAUUUAGCCAAGUGUUUGUAUCUAUGAGGCUAAUGAUGAUGAUGACGAUGAUAAGAUGCAUGAAUGUGUAUACACAAGUGUAUGAUAUACCUCAUGUUAUAUAUUGUAUGUGAUUCAAUUGAUGACCAUUUAUUUUUAGGCCAUUUAUAUGUAUAUUUUGGCCCUUUUAUGAGUAUGUGACGAGAUAUACCUAAGAUUGUAUUAUGAUCCUAAUGAGUCGAAGUAUCAAACACAAAACUCAUUAUGGAAAAAAAAAGAUAUUUUGUGCAUCAGUUAUGAUAUGAUCACAACAAUUAAAGCAUGUGUGAACGGUUAAUAUUGUUCUUAAUAAGAAAACAAAUAAUAUUGUAUGUGACAUUAGAGAUGUCAAAUAGGUUUAGAAAAUUAUUAAGUUUAAUUAUCUUUUUAGUCUUUAUAUUAAUGACCAAAAGUCAAUUCAGAUUUUUAGAAAGUUCAAUAUGAUUUAAUUUUUUAAAAAACAAUUCAAUGUGAUUCCUUCUAGUAUAUUUCCCUUAUUAAAAUAUUUUUAUCUUAAUGAUUCUGCCACUGUUAAGUUAUAUGUGUUGUUAUCACAUUGAAUUGUUUUAAAAAAAUUUGGAACCACCACAUUAAAUUGUUUUAAAAAGUUAGUACUAAAUUGAACUUUUGAAAAUUGGGAGAAUGAAAUUAAAUUUUGUCUAUUAAUACAGGGACAAAAAAUAAUUGAAUCAAAUAUUUUACUAUUUUUGUGAUGUAUAUUUAUAUAUAAAUAAUUUUGAGAAUUUAGAGUUACAAUGUGUUAUAUCAUAUAUAUAUAAUUCUUUUUGGUAAUGUAUCCUGUAGUUGUAAGCAAGUAUGAUUAUAUUAAGUGGGGCGUUUCAAAUAGUGGAGACUACGCAUAUACAAAUAUCUCUUAUAAAGUAAGAAAACAAAACAAUCGUUACUCAAGAAGAUCAUGCAAUGCAUCACAGACAACAUGGGAGAUAUAUAUCAACAAUAAUAUGAGUAAAUAAUACAUUCAUGGGCCAUUAGACGAUAUGCCUAAAAAAAAUAUGCAAACUAUUAAAUUUAUAAUUAUUUUUAAUUAGAAACAUGCUGAGUAUGACUCUUAUGAUAUAUGUAUAACUGUGUGCUUCAAAUAAAAGAAAUUUCAAAUCGAAUAAUGUGGAGAAGGCACAAAGGAAUUGCAAAUGAAAACCUGUAGAUGUAUAAUACACAAAACAUGCUUGUCUAAUUUAUUUUUAUCUUUGAAAGUUUAGAACACAAAGGAACAUAGAUAACUUGAAAAACCUGAUCUCCUUCCCAGAGUUGUUCAAGAUCGCAGUAUGGCAUUUCGAGGAUCACUAGAUUUUGUGGGCAAAAGUUUGGAGGCCAGAAUCUUUGAAGGAAACCGUUCCAAUAAAGAAACUUUAGAGUGUCCGGCAGACCUACAAGAGAUGAUUCAAGAGACACUUUUGAAUUCAAUCUAGGCAUGUAGACCAUAAGCAUCAUAAGAUUGUCCAUCUUUUCGAAACUUUGUGCAUGUACUACAGCAUCUUUUACUUUGUUCGUAUGAUAUUGAUAUACACUGUAUUGCAUCUGACCCCUGAAAGUAAAUCAAUGUAAUUAGAAAAAAAAACAUGAAAUGUUGCAUUUCAGGAUGCUUAAUGACAGCUCAGUAGUUUUCUAUUUUUCACAAAGUAACAACAGCAUAUACCUUGUUCUUUCUUAAAACCUCACAAAUUUCCUCAUCAUUAAACAAUCGGCUGCGUUUUCCAGGAUGCUGAGGACACUCUUUACGAACAAUUUCUUUACCCAUUUCUUGUAUUAGAUCGUGCAUCACAAUUCUACCAUCAAAGACAGAGAUUAGACCCCUAUCUUUGAGAAUAUCCAUUCCAAUCUUAGAAGAGAAACCACAGUCAUCAAGUGUUUCUGCUACCACAGUCUCCUCUUGCCCUCUAUAAAAGCAAGCUAUGUCAAGAAAUAUAUUCUUCUCCUCCUCCUUGAGCCCAUAAUAACUUAAUUUUAAUACGUCGAAAGUUCCAAGAUCUUGGCCGUUUUCCAACUUUUGCAACUGACUCUCCCAUGCUUCUCUUGUUCUGCCAUAAAGCAAUGACCCCAAAAUCUGGAGAGCUAACGGAAUUCCUUUUGCAUAUCUCAACACCUUUACUGACAGGUCCAUGUAAGCAAUUCCUUCUGAAGAUUUUUGUUUAAAAGCAUGUAAACUAAAAAGUUUCAGAGAAUCAUAAAAAUUCAACUCCUUAACUUCGUAGAUAUCAUCAGCUCCAGCAUUCUUAAGCACUUGUCUGUCUCUACUGGUCAUAAUGAUUCUACUGCCCUGCCCAAAACUAUCACUCCCACCUAUUAAUUUUUGAAGUUGAGUUGAAUCGGUAACAUCAUCAAGAAUGAGGAGAACCUUUGUCCGUUUGAGCCUUUCAUUGUAAUAUGGUAAAUAAGAGGAUUUCUCUUCCUUUAGAAGCUCAGACUGAUAUUUUGUUCUGAUACCGUCUAUUCCAUCUCUUUGUAUUUUUUCUUGAACGUCUAAAACAAGGCUGCUGGAAUCAAACUGCAAUGCCAAUUUCUGAUAUAUUUGAUCACAAAUUGUAGUUUUUCCUAUUCCUCCCAUGCCACAAAUUCCUAUGAUCCGAACAUCCGUUGACUCAAGAUGCAACAAGGACUGAAUUCCUUCAAUAUUUUUUUCAAUGCCGAUGAUUCCUUGAUCAUAACUGGCGGAAUAACGAUUCAAUUUUCUCAAAAUAUCUUCCACAAUUUCUUCAACAAGUGCGUGUUCUGGCCUGGCAGAUGAUUUAGAAAAUAAAGUAUAAGUAUUCAAGCACAAAAGCUAAAGUAAACUAAAGAAAAAUUUUACAGUAACCGUUUGUGACUUCUGAUACUAGGGAGCAUACUUGUAGGUACAAAGUUAAGCUAUUGUGUGAUAUGGUUCAGAUCUAUGACCGACUAAUAGAAAUGAAAAAAGAAGCACUUGAUUUAUGGUGAGAUGAACACAAUUUUAGUAAAUGAAAAGAGAUCCUGAUUAUCUAAUAAAUAUAAUGACCUGGUGACUUUUGAAUCCCAGCCUGCAAGUCCAGCAGCUUCGGUGAGAGCAUCCUUCCAUCCUUGCACUGUGUCGUGCUUAAAGUGCUGCUCAUGCUCAUUGAAUGCUUCUUUGUAUCUUUCUUCCUGCUUCCUAAUAGUUGAUGGAUCCACCUUGUAGAAAACAGGUAUCACAUCCCUUCCAUAUCUCUUCUUGCAAUCAAGUAUCUUAGUGAGUUCAUCCAAGCACCAUGUGGAAGAUGCAUAGUUUUUGGAGAAAACGAUGACAUAAAUCUUUGAUUCUUCUAUUGCAGAGAGGAGUACAGGUGAAAUUUCUUGGCCCCUGAGUAAUCUGUAAUCAAUAUAUGCUUGAAUGUUCUUCCUUUGCAGCGCUGCAUAAAGGUGACUAAUGAAGUUGUCACGUGUGUCUUCCCCUCUGAAGCUGAGAAACACAUCAUGCUUUGUUAAAGAAGCAGACAUGGCCAAUGAUGAAGGGUUUCAAUGUUCUCUGCAACUCUCAGAUCCCUUUGUUUGUAAGCAACUUCCAUAUAUUCUAUUAGGAAGGAAAAUAUAUAUUUCUACCAUUCCUACCACAAAUUGAAAAAGCCUUUCAAUUUUCUCAAAAUAUCUUUCACAGCUGUGUUCUGUCAGAUACGAAACAUUGAGUCAAUGGAAGAGUCAACAAUUGGCAGAAUAUUAUGGUGUGUAGCUUUAUACCAUUCUUACAAUAUUUGAUUGGUUGAAUAUAUACAAUAUGACUAAUGAACUUUUUUCUUUUCCGUAUUCCACGAUAAUUCCCUAGGCACCCUAUUAUACACUUUCUUAUCAACGGAAACCAUGUCUGUCCUUUUAUAGUUUUAAUCCUAUAAUAUCUUUCCAUUAAUCAUCAUUAUCACUCUUCAACCUUCAUAUCAAGUGUAUUGAUUUCAUACUUCAUCAGCUAGACAUAAUAAAAUCUCAAUAAUCUUUUAUACUGUCAACAUUUAUAAAAAAUAUUUCCUUCAAUAAUAUUUGUACUUUCUAGCAUAUAGAAUACUUAAUGGAUUCUUCUGUGAUUUUUCUUUCCUAAAGUACAAUUGAUAUUUUAACAGAUGCCGAAAGGUCUUGAAUAUGAGGCUGUUUCGAAAUGAAAAUUGGGGUAAAGCAUUUUCAAGUUAACAAGUUUUGUUGGGUGAGUGAGUGAUCAGUGCUAGCAUUUUCAAUCUCAGUUAUAGAAUGUAAAGAUUUACACAUUUAUUUGCUGAUUAAUAAUUUAUUUAUUGAAUUAAAUGUUUUAACAGUGAGUAUGGAUUCUUGAAUGAAUGUAAUCAUGGUGUAGAAUGUACAUAGUACAUAUAGUGAGUUGGAUUGAAAUGUUGAACACGUUUUCCUCUGCAAAGAUUCAGGAUAUUUAUGAACUUGCUAUAAAUUGUUUUAACUUUUCUCUGCAACUCUCAGUCCCUUUGUUUCUACCAUUUUGUUUUUGAAAAGCCUUUCAAUUUUCUCAAAAUAUCUUUCACUGCUGUGUUCUGUCAGAUACGAAACAUUGAGUCAAUGGAAGAGUCAACAAUUCGUAGAAUAUUAUAUUAUGGUGUCAAUAUUUAAUAAAUUUAUUUAUUUCUUUAACAUAUUUUAGAAAAUAACCAGUAAACAUAAAACUUUUAGUAUGACUAAAAGAAUAAAGAUAGUGUAAGAAUAACAGGAAUAACAUUACUACAAAUAACAAUAUAUUAAUAUUAAUAUGUUUCUUAAUAAAUUUUACACCCACUGUCUAUUUAUAAAUUAAUAUAUUAUAAACAUCUAUUGAUUUUUUGUGGGUAGCUUAUUUCUGUAACAUUUUAAAUUAAUUUUUUAGAUUUUACAAAACAUUACAUUUUGAUUAUAAUAUUUAGGACUGUGAUGCAAUUUCUGCAAUGAAGGCUGGCAGACUAAGUUUCUCCAAGCCCAAUUAAUACUGGGUUGAAAAUUCUGAGAAGAGGGUGAGUAUGAUGCUGCGGUCAUGAUCUAUGUAUUAAAGUGUUAAGGCAUGGGUUUGGUUGACAGGACAAUACUGGUUUUUCAUUGCUACUACUUAAUAUGAUUCUUUCUUACUGCUAUAUGAAUUUGCUGUCAAAUAGCAGUAAAUAAAAGACUUCAAAUAAAGCAUGUGUUUAUCAUACAUGGACUAAUGCAGCAGUUUUAGUAGAAGGGGCUAAUAUGAUUUUAAUCUAGAACAAGAUGGCUAAACCCAAAGAUGGUGGGAAUAAUAUCCUCAAAUCAAUUGUUUUGGUUUUCAGUGUAAUGUCAUUUGUAAGUAUCAAAAUUUGUUUGUUAUCACAUUGGAAGGUAGUAUCUGUCAUGAAAUUUGUGGAAGACCUUUACCUAUGUUUGCUUUGGGUCUGUUUUACGCCCUCUCGAAUUAAGUAAAUUUUUAAUUGCCAUCAUGAAAUUAGGCUAAAUAUGUGUAGUUUUGAGCACUUUCUUUCUUCCAUUUCAAUUCAUAGUUUCAUACAUAUUCAAUAUCAUGUGGGAAUUAAGUUCUUGCUUUUAAGGUGAAUAACAGUUUGUAUUCUUGCAGAAAACUAUUUUCUAAUGCAUAUAAAUUUCAUUUUCUAUUUUCAGCAUUGGAUUAUGUUAUGUAAUUUUUCCUUUGUAUUAUACAGAGUAGGAUUUUAAUGUUUCUACUGAACAGUGCUAUCUUUUUUCGUCCAUAUUCUGAUUUUGUUCAAUUUUUUUCAGUAUGUGCCACAUGCAGAUCAGAUGUAAGGAAUUUUCUAAAUUUUUUUUCAAGCUUUCUUGUUUGCUUAAAGUUUUCUGUAAGUAUUUAACUGUCUUAAGUUGUUAAUGAGGACUAAGGACUGAAAAAGAGAAUUAGCCAUGACAUGGUGGCAUUAUCCUUCUUCAAAACCAUUAGUUUUUUUUCCUACAAAGAUACAUGUCAAGAAAGCAAACCAGGAACAAAAGUGAUGUUUAUGAUUGCUUUCUCUCUUGUUUACUUGCUUUCUUUUUGUUGGACAAUUGUCUUAAUUGCAUUCACACCUAACCUGCAGUAGUUUCAGUCCCUUUGGGGUUGUCAUAAUUGCAGCCUCAAGAGUGGUGGUGUAGUCCAACAUCAACCAGUGAUAUAGUUCAAAUAUAGCAUAUACAUGAAAGUCGUGUUGAUAAUCAAAGGUUGCUUCAUCUUAACUAAUAACAUGUAAAUGUCAUUUGAAUGGUUAAAAAGGAAUUCACCAGUGUAACACAAAAUGAAUGGAUUGCUUGGUUAUGUGUCAACUGUUGUACUUUUUUUGAGUUGCUUGAAAAUAAUUAAAAUUUGUUUUCAUCUAGAUCUUGGUUUUUUCCUAUGAUCAAAUCUCGAUUUAUUUCUGUGCAGAACUUUCUUGUGGACAUAAAAGGACCAGCUAUAGCAUUUUUACCGGUGCUUGCAUUUGAAGGAGGAACUAGAAGAAAUAUACCUAGGUUUGAGGUGUGUAUAAAUUAUUUUUGAUGUAUUUCGUGAUGUAGAUGUAAAAUAAUGCAAUACUUUGUUUUUAGUUUCAAUGUUACUCUUUAUCUGCAGGUUGGAAACAUAUCUUGAUGAAAUAUAGAAACAUUUUUAUUCAUAAUAUAUAUAUAAGGAUUACACAUUCAUAAUUAUUUCUUUCUGUCGUAGCAUUGUCUACCUCAAAUCACUGCAACUUUCUGUUGUUGGUAUAAAAAUACAAUAUUUUAAUCCCAGUUUUGAUAGCCUCUAUUCUUCAGUGGUUGAGAUAUUUUUUAUAAGAAUUUAGAAGUUCUGAGAUAUUUAUGAUAAGAAUUUCAAGUUCUUUGUUACUAGCAGUUUAAUGGUUAUAUCAUUUUUGUUCUCUGGAAAAUAUCUUAUACAAAAUCGGUACUUAGAUUUGGUAUUUAUAUUGUUCAUAUGUAGAAAUCUAAUACUAGCAAAUUUUGUCUAAUUUAAAAGCAAUUACAUUCUACUCUUUGGAAUAUGUUCUGGCCUGCUUUUAUGAAUUAUUUGAAAAUUUGUAAUUAUAAAAUUUAGUCUUUGAAAUUAUAAAUUUAAUAGAGAAGCAUCCAUACUAAACUUUUAUAUUAUAAAUUGUCAGUUUUAUAUUGAAAACAUAUCCCCUUUAGUAUAAGACUUAAAGGAGAUGUCUUUUGGUAUAAAAACUGAAAUAAAAAAUAUUUUAACUAUAUGGGUCAAAUGGAUGAUUAAACUUAUAAAAUGUACAAUUAAACUUAUAAAUUAUAAUAAACGAUACUUUAAUUUUAAACUAUAUUGAACUUUUAUUAAUGUUCUCGCUUUUCUUUAAAAGCUAUUGAACUCUAUCUAACAAUAACUUAAAAAUGAGAAAUUCAUGAUAAAAUUUCAACACUUGUAAUCUAGAAGUAUUACGAUAAGCCAGAAGAGGAAGAGACUAGUUGACUGGGUAGCUUUCGGCGUUCCUCUUCCUAUCUUCCCCUGUUUCUCCUGAAGAGUGUGCAACAUUGCUUCCACUGAAUUCUUCAAUGUCAUUUUCUGAUGCAGAAUAGUCAACAGCACCACCAUAUUUAUCAUCUUUCUUUUUCGUAUAAAGAGGGCAUAUGCCGCAUUCUUUUAUUCUGAUACCUGAUUUCAACUCUCUCUCAACUGAUUCGUAAUCUGGCCGAUUUGGCCGCAGAAAGGGAUCAUACGGACUGAUCUCAAAAGUGAAGCUGCGAGCAUCACACAGCCUAAGGCUCAUGCCGCUCGCCAUUAGGGACUCCAAGUUAAAUUUCCACACGAAUGUCCCUUCACCAUCCCAUUUGAAAUAGCUAUUUAACACACCCUUAUAUGGAAUGAUCUGUGUGCCAUCAUCAUAUUCAAAUUUUAGGCUGUAACGAAAAGAACCAUAUCCACCUUUAAUAUCUAACACUCCAAAAGCUACACACAAAGCGAAACCAGUGAGCCUAUCAUCGCUGCAGAAACUUAAAUCUUCAUUUAUAGUCACUGAAUGUCCCUUCCCACGAAAAUUGAACCAACCAGGAACUGCACUCCCUGGAAAACAGAACAACACACACCUAUAUGUAUCGUCGAUCAUCCUAAGCCUUGCAUCCUCCUCGAUGUUAGCACGAGCACCUGAAUCCAGUUGUUGAGCAUUGGUGAAAUGAUAUUUGAAGACACCCUCUUUGGAAUUUGACAAGUUUGGAACAAGAGAAUUUGACAUCACUCUUCUAAUGGAUGGGCAAUCCAAUGCCUCGAGUUGUUCUAGAAAUGGUGGAAUCGGUGGAAUGCAUUCAAGCUUUUUGCAGUCGCUUAAAUCAAGUGAUUUCAGGCUUGAAAGAUGAGCAAUGCUCUCAGGAAGGUUCACGAUUCCGCUAUCACGCAGUGACAGUUCCAUUAAUGACGUCAAGCGACCGAUGUGUCUUGGGAUUUCUGUUAAUUUGGCACACCCCGAACAAUCAAGUUUAGAGAGAAGCUUCAUAUUAACAAUGGAGUUUGGAAGUGACUCGAGAUAAGUGCACUCUUGGAGUUCCAGGGAUCGAAGAUUAACCAAAUUGCCAAAUGAGGAAGGCAGUUCUUUAACAGCCGUACAUGUCAAGUCAAUAUGAGCAAAAGUAUGAGCCGGCUUCAUGAUCUCUGGGAAGGUCCUCAGCCUUGAGCAACCACCCAAAUCAAGCUUCCUCAAUUUCAAAUUGAAAAUGGUGCUUGGAAAAGUUUGAAGUGAAUUACAGUAGGUAAGGUGUAACUUGCAUAGUCUGGUGAGGCUUCCAAUGGAAGAUGGAAUAAUCUCAAGAUUCAAGCAACUGUGCGAACUCAGUUGUUGAAGCCCUACCAAACGGCACAAGGAUGAAAACUUAUUUUAUUUUUGCUGUUCAUGCAUAACAUUAACAAAUAUUGACAUGAGAGAUUGUGUUUGUAGGCUUCUAAGCUCACCAACGUGUCCCGUUCUUGAUGCUUUAGGGAAGAAAAUUUCCUUUGAGAUUGCAAAAGGACUCAGGAGAAUUUAGAAGUUCUGAGAUAUUUAUGAUAAGAAUUCAAGUUCUUUGUUACUAGCAGUUUAAUGGUUAUAUCAUUUUUGUUCUCUGGAAAAUAUCUGAUACAAAAUUGGUACUUAGAUUUGGUAUUUAUAUUGUUCAUAUGUAGAAAUCUAAUACUAUAGCAAAUUUUAUCUAAUUUAGAAGCAAUUAUAUUCUACUCUUUGGAAUAUGUUCUGGCCUGCUUUUAUGAUUGUAAUUAUAAAUUUAAUAGAGGAGAUUACCAAACAUCCAUACUAAUUAAACUUUUAUAUUAUAAAUUUUUUCAGUUUUAUAUUGAAAACAUAUCCCUUUAGUAUAAGACUUAAAGGAGAUGUCUUUUGGUAUAAAAACUGAAAUAAAAAAUCUUUUAACUAUAUGGGUCAAAUGGAUGAUUAAACUUAUAAAUGUACAAUUAAACUUAUAAAUUGUAAUAAACGAUACUUUAAUUUUAAACUCUAUUGAACUUUUUUUAAUGUUCUCGCUUUUCUUUUAAAUGCAUUUCACUUGUGUGUUUUGUAUUCAGGCUGAUUUUAACUUUAUUCUCAAAUAUACAAAAUAAUUUUUGGUAAUUAUCUUGUGUCGAUCUUGACUUGUAGUAUCAAUGUGAAAUAUGUAAUAAUUACUUUUCUAUGAUUCAGAGGGAAAAUUAUUCCAACUAGACUUUUACAAAUAUAUUUCAAGUGGUAAUAUGAUUUUAAAAAAAAUAGGAUUCGCCACAAAAAAAAGUUACUGUUCCUAAUUGACAUGGUGCUGUCAAAAUUAUUUAAUUACAAUUUAGAUCUUCACUCUACAUAUAAUUAAUUAAUUACCAAUUAUUUAAAAGACUAGUAAAUUAUAAUUUUAAUCUCUCUACAACUUUCUAAAUUUAGUUAUGAUUCUCUCAAAAAAAUUUCCCUUAAAUAUUAAUUAUAAUUACCUUUAGACAGAAACAUUUCUAAUUUAAACAAGCAAAAAUAAGAAAAAAAAAUAGAUUACAAAAACUAAAUUUGAAUUUUUUUAUAUAACUCCAAAUAUAUUUUAUCCAUAAAUAAAUUCUAUUAAUAUUUCAUUUCUGUUUAAAUAGUUUAUUCAUAUUUGUAAUAUUAUUUUCAAAAAACAAUAAUUGUUUUUUGAAUAAAGGUUUACAAAUUCUAUAAUAAUGUAAAUGAGAAGAGGAGUGAGGGUAAAAAUAUGAGAACCUAUGUGAGGGAAUCUUGUGACAAUUUAGCUGGUGUUCAACUUGUGAGAAGUCUUUCAACUUGGUUUUCAAGUUUUAUAUUCAAUUUCUGUUCCUUCAAAUGUUUCUGAUUUUACAGCUCCUCAGGAUUUUACAGCUCCAUGCACAAACCUAAUACAAUGAUAUGAUAUUCAAUCAGCAUUAAUUAGCAUAAACAGGUACCUUGUUGUAAAACUGGGAAUAUGAGAUUCCAUAGGAUGGAGAAAAGUAUGAAGAGGAAUUACCAAUCACCAUUUACCAAUCAUAAUGCCUUCACUACAAAUGCAACCCAAAUAUGCUAAAGAAGUUAAUGAAACUAUAUAUGAAGAGUUUCAAGAAGAUGCAACUCUGGGACAACAGAGCAACCCAUCUCAUGCUGAACACAAACAUCAAACUACAUCUAACAAUAAUUCAGAAAUCUUAAUCAACAAUUGAGCGAACCCACUCCUAAAAUGCCAUUGAGAAUGUAAAUAAAUCAAAAUACAUUAAAAACGAGAAAUUCUUAAUAAAAAUUCAACGUGUUGAACCUUGUAAUUUAGAAGUAUUAACGAGAAGCCAGUUUAGAUCCUCACCAAUGAAAGACUAUUUUACAGGUUAGCUUCCACUGGAUUCUUCAAUGUGAACAGCACCACCAUAUUUAUCAUCUUUCUUUUUGGAAUAAAGAGGGCAUAUGCCGCAUUCUUUUAUUGUCACAACUGACCACCCAAAGUCAUAAAGAGGACUGAUCUCAAAAGUGAAGCUGCGAGCAUCACACAGCCUAGGGCUUAGGGAUUCUAAGUUAAAUUUCCAGACGAAUGUGUGAUCUUUAUCAACAAAACUGUAUUCACCAUUCCAUUUGAAAUGUCUGUUUAACCUAUCAUUAUUUGGAAUGAUAUGUGUGCCAUCAUCAUCAGAUUCAAAUUUUAGGCUGUAACCAAAAGAACCAUAUCUACCUUUAACAGAAUUCGUAUCUAACACUCCAAAAACCACACACAAAGCGAAACCAGUGAGCCUAUCAUCGCUGCAGAAACUUAAAUCUUCAUUUAUAGUCACUGAAUGUCCCUUCCCACGAAAAUGGAACCAACCAGGAACUGUACUCCCUGGAAAACAGAAGAACACAGACCUAUAUCUAUCAUCGGUCAUCCUAAGCCUUGCAUCCUCCUCAAUGUUAGCACGACCACCUGAAUCCAGUUGUUGAGCAUUGGUGAAACGAAAUUUGAAGACACCCUCUUUGGAAUUUGACAAGUUUUGAACAAGAGAAUUUGGCAUCACUCUUCUAAUGGAUGGGCAAUCCAAUGCCACGAGUUGUUUUAGAAAUGGUGGAAUCUGUGGGAUGCAUUCAAGCUUUUUGCAGUCGCUUAAAUCAAGCGAUUUCAAGCUUGAAAGAUGAGCAAUGCUCUCAGGAAGGUUCACGAUUCCGCUAUCACGCAGUGACAGUUUCACUAAUGACGUCAAGCGACCGAUGUGUCUUGGGAUUUUUGUUAAUUUGGCACACCCCGAACAAUCAAGUUUAGAGAGUAGCUUCAGACUAACAAUGGAGUUUGGAAGUGACUCGAGAUCAGUGCAUUUGCGGAGCUCCAGGGAUCGAAGAUUAACGAAAUUGGCAAAUGAGGAAGGCAGUACUUUAACAGCCGUAUAUGAUAAGUCAAUGCGAGCAAAAGUAGGAGCCCGCUCCGUGAUAUCUGGGAAGGUACUCAGGCUUGAGCAACCACACAAAUCAAGCUUGCUCAAUUUCAAAUUGAAAAUGCUGCUUGGAAAAGUCUGAAGUGAAUUACAGCGGGUGAGGUGUAACUUGCAUAGUCUGGUGAGGCUUCCAAUGGAAGAUGGAAUAAUCUGAAGAUUGAAGCAACUGCGCAAACUCAGUUCUUCAAGCCCUAUCAAACGGCACAAGGAUGAAGGUAGUGCCUGUAUGGCUGUGGCGUCUAAGAUGAGCACCGCUAGAUCUUCCAACGUGUCCUGAAUCUCGGGUAAAUUUUCCAAUUUUGAGCAACCACGGAGAGAAAGUUGAUUUAUGAAUUUCAUAUCAGAAAGGUCAAUUGGAAAGAUUGUAAGAGAAGAACAGUGAGAGAGAUCUAUGUGAGAGAGCUUCUUGCCACUAAAUUGUAAGGGCACACCUUCGUAGUCUUCUGAGUAUUCUGAGUCUGUAGCAUUAUUAGCAUUUAUCUCUUUCAUCAUAUCCGGUUCCUGACGCUCCAGUAUGACAUGAGGGAGAAAUUUAUCUUCAUGUUCACCCAAUGAAAACAUAUUAAGCUUCUCACAACCGGAAACACUAAUCCAUCCUGGUGAUGUGGAUAAAAUGUUGCUGGGAAUAUUUACACUUUUGAGAUUAGAACAAUGAUCUAAACAUAAACAACUGAGCUUGGUGAGGAAUAUCGAAGAGUGAACUUCAAUCAACUUUGAACAAUAACUCAGCUUUAUUUCUUCAAUAUUCGGUGACAGAGAAAGGUCUGGUAUUCUAGUAAGUUCCCAAGAUUUAACCAGGUCGAGCCUUUUCAAGUUGGGUAAAUUCUGCCAGAAAUAGUAAAUGAAUGAGGUAACAAAUAAAAACUACUUUAUCUAUUUUUCUUCCUAUUUAAACUAUUAGCUACUAUCUAUUGAGUUUAUAUUUUACAUUACUUAAAAACCACUGUUAAAAAAACCACACUGUGGACUAACAAAACUCUGCCUAUAAAUUUUAUAGUUAUUAUAAAAAAUCACAAAAUUUAACGUCUUUUUGUUCCCUACCUAAAAUUACAUCCUAAUCAUUUGAACCUAAACUUAUUAUGUAUUCAAAAACUUAUGAUAGUAAUUUAUAAUCGAUCACAAUGUCAAAAUACUUUAUAUUAUACAUGUAUCAACUCACAAAAUAAAUGGUGUUGUCUCAGAUUUAAAAUUAAACCUUAGUUAAAAAGUCCAUCUUUCCAUAAUUUAUUUUAUUAAAUACAUAAUUUGUAAUUUAUUGUAUAUUAUAUUCAAGUUUAUGUUAUGAUAAAAAAAGUAUCUAAGGCAUUUUUAAUUAAAUAAUAUAAAAUAAACAACAUGAACUCAAUUAAAUAAUAUAAAUUUUUUUGAAUACUCGAUGGAAUAAAAAAAUUAAUAAAACCCUCAAUUUGAAAAUAACCAAAUUUAUAAGAUACUUAAAACUUAAUUAAACCUACAAAUUUUCAUUAUAUGGAAUUAAAUAUUGUAAAGAUUUACCACAUAAGUUUCAUAAGUAGAAGGUUUAAACAUAAAAUUCUUCACGUUGGGAGUUUCUUUCCUCUAUCUUAUAAGUUUUCGUUGUUUCUUUAAUAUUUUUUAUAUGGCUUCUGUCAAUGUAAUUUUUUUUUUGGUUUUAAAAUAUUAUUAAAGAUAAAAUAUGAAGACAGGGUAAUUAAAUUAAAUAUAAUUUUUAUUUUUCAGAAAUGAUGAAAAUUAUAAUUAAAUUAACUAAAUUAUAUAAAAUUCCAUUUUAUUUACAUAACUCAUUUUCAUAUUAAAAAACUAUAUAAGAUCUUCCAAAGUAGAUAUAAUACAUUCACGGGCCAUUAGAUGAUAUGCCUAAAAAAAUAUGCAAACUAUUAAAUUUAUAAUUAUCUUUAAUUAGAAACAUGCUGAGUAUGACUCAAAUAAAAGAAAUUUCAAAUCGAAUAAUGUCGAGAAGGCACAAAGGAAUUGCAAAUGAAAACUUGUAUAUGUAUAAUACAGAAAACAUGCUUGUAUAAUUUAUUUUUAUCUUUGAAAGUUUAGAACACAAAGGAACAUAGAUAGCUUGAAAAACCUGAUCUCCUUCCCAGAGUUGUUCAAGAUGGCAGAAUGGCAUUUCGAGGGUCACUAGAUUUUGUGGGCAAAAGUUUGGAGGCCAAAAUCUUUGAGGGAAAUGUGUCCAAUAAAGAAUCUUUAGAGUGUCUGGCAUAUCCACAAGAGGUGAUUCAAAAGACACUUUUAAUUCCAAUCCCCACGUGUAGAGCCUAAGCACCCUAAGAUUGUUCAUCUUUUCGAAACUUUGUGCAUGUACUACAACUUCUUUUACUUUGAAAGUAGAUAGUGAUAUACACUCUAUUGAAGUAGAUAGUGAUAUACACUCUAUUGCAUCUGACCCCUGAAAGUAAAUCAUGAAAUGUUGCAUUGCAGGAUGUUUGAUGACAGCUCAGUGGUUUGCAAUUUUUCACAAAGUAAAUCCAUUCUCAAUUGAGUAACGACAUAAUACCUUGUUCUUUCUUAAAACCUCUCAAAUUUCCUCAGCAUUAAACAAUCGGCUGCGUUUUCCAGGAUGCUGAGGACACUCUUUACGAACAAUUUCUUUACCCAUUUCUUGUAUUAGAUCGUGCAUCACAAUUCUACCAUGAAAGACAGAUAUUAGGCCCCUAUCUUUGAGAAUAUCCAUUCCAAUCUUGGAAGAGAAACCACAGUCAGCAAGUAUUUCUGCUACCACAAUCUCUUGUGACCUAUAUAAAAGCAAGCUAUGUCAAGAAAUAUAUUCUUCUCCUCCUCCUCGAGCCCAUCAUAACUUAAUUUUAAUACAUUGAAAAUACCAAGAUGUUGGCCCUUUUCCAACUUUUGCAACUGACUCUCCCAUGCUUCUCUUGUUCUUCCAUAAAGCAAUGACCCCAAAAUCUGGAGAGCUAAUGGAAUCCCUUUUGCAUAUCUCAACACCUUUUCUGACAGUUCCCUGUAAGCAAUUUCUUCUGAAGAUUUUUGUUUAAAAGCAAGUAAACUAAAAAGUUUCUGAGAAUCAUCAAAAUUCAACUCCUUAACUUCGUAGAUAUCAUCAGCUCUAGCAUUCUUAAGCACUUGUUUGUCUCUACUGGUGAUAAUGAUUCUACUGCCCUGCCCAAAACUAUCACUCCCUCUUAUUAAUUUUUGAAGUUGAGCUGAAUCGGUAACAUCAGUUAGAAGUGGAACACGUUUGUAGAAGUGGAACACGUUAGUUGGUUAGUUGCCUUAAGAAGCGGAUCAUGUAUUUUUUCUUGAACGUCUAAAACAAGGCUGCUGGAAUCAAACUGCAAUUCCAAUUUGUGAUAUAUUUGAUCACAAAUUGUAGUUUUUCCUAUUCCUCCCAUGCCACAAAUGCCUAUGAUCCGAACAUCCGGUAAGUCAAGAUGCAACAAGGACUGAAUUCCUUCAAUAUUUUUUUCAAUGCCGAUGAUUCCUUGAUCAUAACUGAUGGAAUAACGAUUCAAUUUUCUCAAAAUAUCUCCCACAAUUCCUUCAACAAGUGUGUGUUCUGACCUGGCAGAUGAUUUAGAAAAUAAAGUAUAAGUAUUCAUGCACAAAAGCUAAAACAAAACUAAAGAAAAAUUCAGAGUCAAGAAGAGUGAACAUCAUUGAAUAGAUUCACAUAUUGAUUGUAGGACGUUAUCUUCGAAUAUUAGUGUGGUUGGUUUAGAAAUUGCAAAUCAAGAUCGCAGAAAUUCUACAGUAACCGGUAGUGACUUCUGAUACUAGGAAGCAGUCUUGUAGGUACAAAGUUAAGCUAUAAGAUGUGAUAUGGUUCAGAUCUAUGACCCACUACGAAAAAUGGAAAAAAGAAACACUUGAUUUAUGGUGAGAUGAACACAAUUUUAGUAAAUGAAAAGAGAUCCUGAUUAUCUAAUAAAUAUAAUGACCUGGUGACUUUUGAAUCCCAGCCUGAAAGUCCAGCAGCUUCGGUGAGAGCAUCCUUCCAUCCUUGCACUUUGUCGUGCUUAAAGUGCUGCUCAUGCUCAUCGAAUGCUUCUUUGUAUCUUUCUUCCUGCUUCCUAAUAGUUGACGGAUCCACCUUGUAGAAAACAGGUAUGACAUCCCUUCCAUAUCUCUUCUUGCAAUCAAGUAUCUUAGUGAGUUCAUUCAAGCACCAAGUGGAAGAUGCAUAGUUUUGGGAGAAAACGACGAUAUAAAUCUUCGAUUCUUCUAUUGCAGAGAGCAGUGCAGAUGAAAUUUCUUCGCCCCGGGGUAGUGUCUCAUCAAUAUAUGCUUCUAUGUUCUUCCUUUGCAGUGCUGGAUGAAGGUGGCUAAUGAAGUUGUCACGUGUGUCUUCCCCUCUGAAGCUGAGAAACACAUCAUGCUUUGUUAGAGAAGUGGACACGGGGAAUGAUGAAGAACUUCCUGUUUAAUUUCUUCGCCCCUGUUUAAUCUGUAAUCAAUAUAUGCUUCAAUGUUCUUCCUCUGCAGCGCUGCAUAAAGGUGACUAAUGAAGUUGUCACGUGUGUCUUCCCCUCUGAAGCUGAGAAACACAUCAUGCUUGGUUAGAGAAGCAGACAUGGCCAAUGAUGAAGGGUUUCAAUUUUCUCUGCAACUCUCAGAUCCCUUUGUUUGUAAGCAACUUGCAUAUAUUCUAUUUCUAUCACAAAUCAACUUUUGGAAAAGCCUUCAAUUCAAAAUAUGCUUCACAGCUUUAUAUUAACGUGCCUAGCUUUAUACCAUUCUUACGCAUUGGUAAAGAUUCUUCAAUAUCUUUACUCAAUUUGUUUCUUCAAUACCUUUUACACAUUCUUACGCAUUGGUAAAGAUUCUUCAAUAUCUUUACUCAAUUUGUUUCUUCAAUACCUUUUACAUAUAAAGAAUCGGAUUUGUUUAAUAUAUUUUAGAAAAUAACCAGUAAACAGAAAACUAGGUUAAUAUGACUAAAUGAAUAAAGAUAGUACUCAUAAAAAAUAUUUUAGAUUACAAGUGGUAUAACUAAAAUAAAAUAUUUUAUUUUUAAAAUAAAAUUUAUAAAUAAAUAAAAAAAUAUAAUUGUUUAGUUUUCGGUGUAAAACAAUAUUCAUUUUUAUAAAAAAAAAUCUUUUCUCUUUUAUUUUAUUUUUAUAUUUCUAAUUAGAGUAUUCUUGAGUUUGACAAUAGAAUCCUUUCUUUGGACUUUUGGAAUUAAAUAAAGAUGUUAAUUGAAAAAAAAAAUUGAAAUAGAAACUAAUUUAGAAACCAAAUUUCUUUUUAGUUUCUAAAAUGGUCUCUAAUUUAGUUACUAUUGCAACUAAUUGUUUUGGUUUCUAGAAAUUGGUUUCUAUUUCAUGAUUUUCUUGUAGUGUAUACUGAAGGUGUGCACCCCUAUGAAAUGUUUUUAUUUCUAGUUGAUGUGUGAUUUCCAAUAAUUAUAUAAAUUGAUUGUUAUAUGCAGUGUGAAGUUUAACCUUGAUUUUUACUUGAAAAAAUGGAUUUUAAUAUGAGGUAUGCAUGCUCUCAUACUCAAAUUCAAUAAGCGGAAUUUUCACAUGUCAAUAGAAUUUGAACCUGCAUAGUUUUGGGCACUCUCCACCUCAAAUUCGCUCAAUGUUUUUUCCUGCGUUUAAGCGAAAUUACAUGCAGAUUUUGGAGUACUUUCGGGCUUAAAAUUGCUCAAAGAAAUUUCCCUAUGGCAAGCAAAUUUAAGCUACAAUUGUUUGGGUGUUCUUUGCCUCAAAUUCGUUGCCUCAAAUUCGUUCAGCGAAGAUUUCUCUGGGCUUAAGCCCCAACUUCAUGGGCUCGAGCCAUUUUGACAACAUUUGUCAUCUUUGCUUAGAUAUCUUUUGGUUUGUUUUCUAUAGGUCAUGAAAUUGAAUUAAAUCUUUUGAAAUUUAACAUGUGUUUAAAAUAAGUAAAUCUAACAUUUAUAAUCAUGCAACAUGUGUUUAAUUUAUAAAAAAAAUAUAAAACAAAUACUCAUUAUAUAUUCAAUUGAUAUGUAAAAUUUUAAAUAUUAUGUGAUUAUUGUUGAUAUUUUGUAACGGUUUUAAAAAUAUAAACUUCUAUAUGAUUGAAUGAUAUAUUAUCGAUACAUAGUAAUUUCAAGUAAGGAAAUACUUUGUUAAGGAUAGUUAGGAUGUGUCUUGAUUAGUAAUACAUUUAGAAUAAGAUAUUUGACUCUAUUCACAUAUUAAGGUGGUGACAGUCAAAUGAGAUUUAUAUGAUUUGAUCUACAAUAUAAAAAAUCAUAAUCUAACAUGCCAUAUGAAUUAACCUUGUCAUAUUAGGUGAUUCUAUUAUGAUAUUCUUAUUCGCAUAGAUGUGUGAAUUUCACAAUGGGGUAUUAUAACAUGUGCAAAUUUUUUAGUCUAAAUCAAUGUACGAUUCUUUCAGAAAUAGGGUCAAGUGUACAUGUGGAUCUAAUUAGAUUUUUGACAUGAGUAAUAUGGAACACAAGUCAUUUAGAGACACUUAAUUGUUUAAUAUAUUAGGAAUGAAUGAAGUGUGAUUAUUCAUAUGAUUAUGAUUGAAUGAUUCAAAUAUAAAUUUUAAAAAUCAUUAACUUAGCCUAAUUUCUUGUUAGUAUCAUUUUUUUGUUAGUAUCGUUUUUUUUUUAGAUUUGUUAUGAUCGUGAGUUACAUGUGAACAUAUGAUGUUGUAUGUUAUAGGCCUCAAAAUUGAAAAUGAGAGAGUUUUUUCUUUUAAUUCUUUUGAUGUUUUAUUUUGAUGUAUAUAUUUGAUUAUGAUAUAAUAAUAUUACAAUGUAAAUGUUAUUUAUAUACUAUCACAUGGUAAAUUAAAAUUUAAUAAGGUAGUUAAGGAUGUUAUAAUUAUUCUUUUAAUUUAUUUUAUUUCACUGUAUAUUUAGGUGUAUUACGUAAAAUGUAUAGUUAAAAAAAAUAAUGUUAUUUUGAAAUUUAAGCUUUUGUUAAAAUUAUACCAUUUGAAAAGGAACACAGAACAAUCUUGACAAUUAUACUGACUUAGUACUUAUUUUAAUUUAUUAUAUUCAUGAGUAUUAUUUUUUUCUUAAACAUAAAUAUUGGAUAAAAAAUAUAAAUAACAUUUAUUUAUUUCAAAUUUAAAAAUCUUUAAAAUAAAUAUAAAUAAUAUUUUUAAUCAAGAUGUGUUUUUUAACAAUUUUUUUUAAUUUAAAAAUAAUUAAUUCGGACGAUGAUUAAAGAAAUAUUAACAAAUUAUUUCUGCGAUUAUAAUAAACCUUCAAUAAUUUUUGCACUUUCUAGCAUAUAGAAUAUGGAUCCUUUUGUGAUUUUUCUUUUCUAAAGUACAAUUGAUAUUUUAAAUGUUUUUCUAUUUAAUUUUCCUUUCUUAAUGCACAUAAAAAUUUCAGUGCACAAUUAUUACUCACCUUAAUUCAAAAUGGAAAUUAAAAUUCAAGAACCCUACUUAUAUAUUAAUAUUCAACGAUUUAAAAUAUUAGUAUGCAAAUUAAUCUUUCUUAAUAAUAUUUGUAACAAUUUUUAAUAAUUCAAUGUGAAAUAUGUAAUAAUUACUUUUCUAUGAUUCAGAGGGAAAAUUAUUCCAACUAGACUUUUACAAAUAUAUUUCAAGUGGUAAUAUGAUUUUAAACAAAAAUAGUAUUCUCCACAAAAAUAAAUAGUUACUGUUCCUAAUUAAACAAGUCACAUUCUUGAACAAAAUAUCAAAUAACAAGGAAUUAGACUAUGAAAUGAUGACCAAUUAUAUUAAACAACAUAACAUACAUUUCUCAAUGUACACAAGGUAUAAAUAAUACAAUAUCAUCCAAAACCUGUGUUCACUAUGUAAAUAAACCAUUUUUUUUGCCAUUACCUCUUUCAUGAUGAUGAUUUGUUUACUAGGGAUUGCAAUGAUAGGUCAUGAUCAAAACUUAGGCCUAAGACUAAAAAUAGAAUGAAAUGAGCAUGAAAAUAAAGAUAACUUUUGAGUGAGACACAUUCUUCCUUACAAGCAGCAAGUUCUUCCAGGUUAUCUUCUCUUCCUUCAACCGUAGCUGUGCAACCGCCUGUUGUUCAUUGCCACCAAUAUCUCUAGUGCCAAAACUAUGUUUUCCAAAAUUAGAGUUAUAUGGCUUUAUCUGUGAAGUCUUACCAGCCAUAAUGUUUUAUUUUACUGUUUUGUUGUAAUCAUGCCAAUAGAUAAAUCGUGGAUUUGUAAACCACGAAACACCAUUGAGUAUGCAAAUGGGUUGAAUGUGUUUUUGGAUAUUGCAUUUCAACAUGCUAAUGGUCCUGUAAUUAAGUGUCCAUGUGCAAAGUGUGGUUUCAAAAAGUGACAAACAAGGGAUGUAAUCCAAGAACACUUAACAUUUACAACUUUCCCUCAGAACUACAAAACUUGGUAUUUGCACGGUGAAAGACCAAGUGUAAUUGAGCCUAUGGUCACUACAAGUGUGCAUGUCAUUGAAGAUUUAUUUGAAUCUCAAAAUACAAUGGAAGACAUGUUGAAUGAUGCAUUCGAGUUUGCGGGACAUGAUGAGGAUACUGAAGUUGAUGGUUUGCAAACUAAUAUGGUGGGUGAUGAAGGAAUAUGAACUUUGAUGAAUUGAUGAGGGACAAUAAUGAACCCUUAUAUGAAGGUUGUACAAAGCAUUCGAAGUUAUCAUUCAUGUUGAAGUUGUACCAUAUCAAAUGCAUGAGUAGAAUGAGUGACAAAGCAAUGACCAUGAUUCUAGACUUGCUAAUGAACACAUUUGAACAUGCUAAGUUUCCUAACUUGUUUUAUGAGGCGAAGACUGUGAUUACCAAACUUGGACUUAAUUAUGUCAAAAUACCAGCUUGCCCAAAAGACUGAAUGCUAUAUUGGGGCGAAGACAAUGAAGGCUUAGAAGAAUGUAAACGGUUCAAAACGUCUAAGUGCAAAAAAAAAAAAAGAUAAGAAGCAAUUGCAUUACUUUCCAUUAAAACUGUGAUUGCAAAGAUUGUUUAUGAGUUCUAAGAUGAUUGAGUCUAUGACAAGGCAUGCAUCAAAGGAUAAUCAAGAUGGAUUGAUGAGGCAUCCUAGAGAUUCUGAGGCUUGCAAAUCAUUUUAUUGCAUCCAGAAUUUGUAAAUGACCAUUGAAAUGUACGAUUAGACUUAGCUGCUUAUGGCUUUAAUCCUUAUGAAAACAUGAGUAAAAACCAUAGUAUAUGACGAGUGGUUAUCAUCCCAACAAUCACCCUCCUUGGGAGUUAUGAAGCAAACAUCUUUUAUCCUCUACAUGAUAAUUUCUGGAAAACAAAUGGUAGAAAAUGACAUUGAUGUUUAUUUAAAACCACUUAUAAGCAAAUUGAAGGAGUUAAUAGUAUGAUCAUGUAAUUAUUAUUUAUAUACUAAAUAUUACGACAUAUAGUAAUUUAAAAUUUGAUAAGGUAGAUGAGGAUAUUAAAAUAUCUCUUUUAAUUUAUUUUAUUUUAUUGUAUAUUUAGGUGUAUUAUGUAAAAUAUAUAAUUAAAAAAAAUAAUGUUAUUUUAAAAUUUAAAGAAUCACGUAUAGAAAGAAACAUAUAACAAUCUUGACAAUUAUAUUCUGACUUAGAGAUACUUAUCUUAAUUUAUUAUAUUCAUGAGUAUUAUUUUUUUCUUAAACAUAGAUAUUGGAUAAAAAAUAUUAAUAAUAUUUAUUAUUUAAAUUUUAGAAAUAUUUAAAAUUAAAAUUAAAAUUAAAUAAUAUUUUUAAUUAAAAUAUGAAAAAAAUUCCUUAACAAUUUUUUUAAUUUCAAAAUAAUUAAUUCAGAGGAUGAUUGAAAAAAUAUUAACAAAUCAUUUCUGCGUUUAUAAUAAACCUUCAAUAAUAUUUGUACUUUCUAUCAUAUAGAAUACUUAAUGGAUCCUUUUGUGAUUUUUCUUUUCUAAAGUACAGUUGAUAUUUUAAAUGUUUUUCUAUUUAAUUUUCAUUUCUCAAUGACAAAUAAAAUGGUUCAGUGCACAAUUAAUUAUUCUCACCUUAGAUUUCAUUCAUCUCAUUCCAUUUCCACACUCAAAUCAUUCUCACAUUUUUUUCUACCUAUUUCACAAAGUUUUUGUUAAAAUAUGGAAAUUAAAGUUCAAGAACCCUACUUAUAUUUCAUAUUCAACAAUUUAAAAUAUUAAUAUGCAAAUUAAUAUUUCUUAAUAAUGUUAUUUUUAUGUAAAAAUUAAAAUGUAGUUUAGUCAUUCAUACUUAGAUGGAUAAAAAUGGUUUUAGAAAGAAAAAAAUAUGCAUUUUUUUGAAAGGUUAUCUAAACUCUAAACUCAUUGAUGAAUUAAUAAUAAUAAAUAAUAUGGAAUUCUAUACGAAUAGCAUAUAAAUGUUUUCUUGUUGAAACUGAUAAUUAAUUCAGUCUAGGGACAAUUAUCGCGGUAUUUGUUCUUUUAUUUUUAAUGUUUAAACAAUUAUAAAAUUCUGUUUUUAGAUAUUAAAAUGAUAGUUUUCAUUUACAGAUUAAAAUAUUACUUGUUUCUUUUAAGAUUUUUUGUAUUAUAAUUAUUUGUUGUCUGAAUUGUUUUGAUUUAACAUGUUGUUUUCUUGGGCUAUGAUAUUGUGAGGUUUUAUUACAUGCAGGUACGUGAAUAUUUUUUUUAUCCUAGUUGUAUAAAUCAGGAAAAUUGUUUUUCACAUUAUAAUAACCGUUUAACAACUCUAAAUAAUAAUAAAAUAUUAACUCAUAUUGUUUAAUUAAAGUAUAAAUUAAAUUAUUAAAUAAAAAAGUAGUAAAACUGGUUGCAGGAUGGGAAUAUGAUUAUUUUUAACUGCUAGCUCCUGAUUAUUCUUUUCUAAUAAAAAAAACACCAAUAGCAACAAAACAAGUUUUGACACACGUAGGUUUGGCAAUUGUUUUAAUAGCUGAAAAUAGUACAACAAUUUUUAAUUACCACAAACUGCAUCUUAAAUCAUAAAAAAUUAGCAUUUUGUUAGUUCAUAUAUAAUAAAAUUUCCAUAAAACAGCCAAUUGUAUUAAUUAUUAAUAAUGUAUUUACAAUUUUUUUAGAUAAUUUUUUUACUAUAAAGACAUUUAUUUGAGAUUGAAAUUGUAAUUAACACUUUUUGGUCAAAGAAUAAUAUAUUUCACUUGAUUUUUUGUAUUAAAUAUUUUGUAUAGCGCUGAGACAAAAAAAAAUCUCAUAUAAAUCCCUAUGUGCUACAAGUACAAUAUAACAUCCUUAAUGUAAGCAAUAAAAAUGAUGAAUACUCAAAGUCGUGUAAUUACGCAAAAGAAUCAAGUGAUUUUUAAAAGAACUCACAUGAUCAGUUUAAAUUUUGACGAUAAAAUACAUUAAUUAUAUAUAUUUAUUCAAAAUUUCAAUUAUAUUAUGCAUUAAUGGUUUUAUGCUUUUAGAGGAAUCAGAGAAACUUAGAAAAGCUCCUAAAAACUAAUGUAACCCUAUGAAUAGAAGAGAGCUAAAAGAAAGAGAAAAUGGAAGUGAGAAAAGAUGAUAAUUAAUAAACACGCUCUCUUCAUAACAUAGAGUCUUUAAACCUAUAUUCCCUCAAACAAUUAUAAAGAAUUAACAAUCACACUUUUAUAAGUCAUCACCCACAUGAAACAAAACAAGGUGCCUCAAUAUGAAUAAACCAAGAUUAAUAAGAAAUAUGAGGUUUCACUAACCAAGCUCAGAAUUUUCUGCUUUUAUAGCUCCAUGCACAAACCUAAUACAAUGAUAUGAUAUUCACUGCAAAUGCAACCCAAAUAUGCUAAAGAAGUUAAUGAAACCCAAAUAUAAAGAAUUUGAAGAGAAUGCAACUCUGGGACAACAGAGCACACCAUCUCAUGCUGAACAGAAACAUCAAACUAUAUCUAACAAUAACUAUACCUAUGUUUGCUUUGGGUCUGUUUUUAGUUUCAAUGUUACUCUUUAUCUGCAGGUUGGGAACAUAUCUUGAUGAAAUAUAGAAACAUUUUUAUUCAUAAUAUAUAUAAGGAUUACACAUUCAUAAUUAUUUCUUUCUGUCGUAGCAUUGUCUACCUCAAAUCACUGCAACUUUCUGUUGUUGGUAUUUGCAUAUCACGAUGGUUAUUGAGAAAUUUAGGAGUUUGCUGUUGUGUACCAGAAGUAAAAUAGAAGGUUCAUUUUUUGGUCAUCAUCAAUUAUUAAUGUAAAUAGAUAUAGGUGAAGGAGAUCAGUAUUAUGCAUUGUAUCAUGGACCAUUAGAAGACUAGGGUCACCAAUUGGAGGCAUUGGUAACUUUGGCUAGUAAAACUAAAACCAAAGUCCAUUUUUACAAAGCCUUGGUCUAAUUCACCUUAUAGCUGUACUUUUUCCUCCAUUUUAAUAAUAUUAAGUUUUCAUUUUCUAUGCAUAAUCUUGGGUAAUUUUCUUUUUAUAUCAAUGCUUGAAGUGUCAAAUUGUUACAAGCUGGAUUAUUAAGAAAGAAAAGAGUGCAUUCUGGAUGCUCGAAAGGGAGUGUUUCCUAGAAAAAAAAUGUGAUUUCAGGGUGUCCAGGCUCAGGUAGCAAUGGUAGGAGUUCCACAUUGAAAUGGAUGAACUACUUGAUUUAGUACUUUGGGACUCUCUCACCUAAUGGACUAGUAUUUUGGGUUAGCUUCUCUCCCCUUAAUGCUUAAGUCCUAAAAAACAGUUUUUCUGUUUCUAUUUAUCUUUUAGGGUGUGAUUAGGACCAUGAAGCAGUGGGUGUUUUUUCCAUUAAUGAACUUUGCCACUGCCACAGAUCACCUAGGUUAACCUAAUUAAGUCUUCUGAAUUGUAUUUUGUAAUUAAUUCUUGUAAAACAUGGAGUGUAAAAUUCAUGUACAUUUUUCUUUUCCUCUUUUGAUUUGGAUGUCAAACUAGCAACUUCAUGUUUUGUCUGGUUGGUCUAUCACAUUUAUGUAGGUUGUAAUCUAUUUUGCCUAAUGCAUCAGUUGCAGAUAGGUACUAAAUUAUCUUAGUUCGGAUACACCUUGCCAAUUAGAUUAAGAUCAAGAAUUUAAAGUGAAUGGUUCACUUCUGAGUUCUUAAAUGAGAUAAAAUGUUCAGAGAUACUAAAUCAUCGCCUUCAUUUGAAAAUUGGCGUGCCUAUUAUGCUUUUGAGAAAUAUUGAUCAAACCAACGGUCUUUGUAAUGGAACAAGGUUGCAAGUUAUUGAUUUGAAGAAAAUGUUAUUUGUGCAAUAGUUCUAACAGGAACAAAUAUUGGUGAUAAAAUCUUCAUUUCAAGAAUGAAUUUGAUCCCUUUAGAUGUAGGUAUGCCAUUCAAAUUCCAGAGAAGACAAUUUCCAAUAGCUUUAUGUUUUGCAAUGACAAUUAAGAAAAGCCAAGGUCAAUUAUUGACCAAAGUUGGUUUAUAUUUUUCACAUCCAAUUUUCACACAUCGAUAGUUGUAUGUAGCUAUUUAUAGAGUUCGAAAGAAAAAAGAUUUAAAAAUUCUAACUCUUGAUGAAGAUGGAAUGCAACAAACAAGAAAAAGAAAAUGUUUACACUGAAAUUUUUGACAAUAUUUGAAAACAAUAGAAUUAUAUGAUAAACUUGGAAUGGCUAAUUCUCCCUGCAACCAAUAUUUUUGAACCUGCAACUUUUAAAUUUUUGAAAAUGCUCUUUAUUCCAGAAAUGAAAAUAAUACAUUACAAAAAAAAUAGAUCCAAAAAAGAUUAUUGUGUUUUGGUAAUAAAAAUCGGAAAACAAAAAUCAAAAGCCCAUUAUGAAUAAGAAAAUUCGUAAUACAAAAAAUUUGGUCUUAAAAACAAAAUCUGAAAACAUAUUCCAGAAAGAAAAUCCGAAAUGUAUUUUUAUAUAUAACCCAUUUUUUCAAGGGAGUUUCGUCUUUUCUAUUGUAAAAGGGGUUGGAAUUUGCUCCCUUGGAAUUAUAGUUUCUUAUGUGUGAUGUAGUAACAGUUGCCUUAUUUAAAAUGUUACUAAAUAACAUAUAAUUUAUAUCUGUUAUUUUUAUUCUGUUAUGACUUUAUAUAUUUGUCACAACAUGAAUGAGGCACAAACCCAUCUCAUGUUAACGAAGUUGAGAAUUUUCUGAUUUUACAGGUCCAUGCAAAAAUCUAAUAUAAUGAUAUGAUAUUCAAUAUCAAGAGGUACUUGUCGUAAAACGGGGAAUAUGAGAGACUCCAUAGAAUGAAGAAAAAGUAUAAAGAGGAUUUACAAAUUAACCUUUCAAAUGCAGCUCCUCAGAAUUUCAUAAUGCCUUCACUGCAAAUGCAACCCAAAUAUGCUAAAGAAGUUAAUCAAACAAUACAUGAGGAGUUUCAAGAAAAUGCAACUCUGGAACAACAGAGCAACCCAUCUCAUGCUGAACAGAAACAUCAAACUAUAUCUAACUUAGAAAUCUUUGUCAACAAUUGAACGAACCCACUCCUUAAAUACCAUUGAAAAUGUAAAUAAAACAAAAUAAAUUAAAAACGAGAAAUUCAUAAUAAAAAUUAAACGUGUUGAACCCUGUAAUUUAGAAGUAUUAACGAUAAGGCAGUUUAGAUCCUCACCAAUGAAAGAGACUAGCUGACUAGGUAGCUUUCGGCCUUCCUCUUCCUAUCUUCCCUUGUUUCUCUUGAAGACUCUGCAAUAUUGCUUCCAUUGGAUUGUUCAAAGUCAACAGCACCACCAUAUUUAUCAUCUUUCUUUUUCGUAUAAAGAGGGCAUAUGCCGCAUUCCUUUAUUGUGAUACCUGAUUUCAACCGAAAGUGAUAAUCACACGGACUGAUAAGUGAAGCUGCGAGCAUCACAGAUUCUAAGGCUCAUGCCGCUCGCCCUUAGGAACUCCAAGUUAAAUUUCCACACGAAUGUGUGAUCUUGAUCAACACAUCUCUCUUCACCAUUCGAAAUAGCUGUUUAACACAUCUAUCAUCGCUGCAGAAACUUAAAUCUUCAUUUAUAGUCACUGAAUGUCCCUUCCCACGAAAAUGGAACCAACCAGGAACUGCAGUCCCUGGAAAACAGAAGAACACAGACCUAUAUCUAUCGUCGGUCAUCCUAAGCCUUGCAUCCUCCUCAAUGUUAGCACGACCACCUGAAUCCAGUUGCUGAGCAUUGGUGAAAUGAAAUUUGAAUACACCCUCUUUGGAAUUUGAGAGGUUUCGAACAAGAGAAUUUGGCAUCACUCUUCUAAUGGAUGGGCAAUCCAAUGCCACGAGUUGCUUUAGAAAUGGUGGAAUCUGUGGGAUGCAUUCAAGCUUUUUGCAGUCGCUUAAAUCAAGCGAUUUCAAGCUUGAAAGAUGAGCAAUGCUCUCAGGAAGGUUCACGAUUCCGCUAUCACGCAGUGAUAGUUCCAUUAAUAACGUCAAACGACCAAUGUGUCUUGGGAUUUCUGUUAAUUUGGAGCACCCCGAACAAUUUAGAGAGAAGCUUCAGAUUAACAAUGGAGUUUGAAAGUGACUCGAUAUCAGUGUAUUUCUGAAGCUCCAAGGAUCGAAGAUUAACGAAAUUGCAAAAUGAGGAAGGCAACUGCGCAAACUCAGUUGUUGAAGCCCUACCAAACGGCACAAGGAUGAAGGUAGUGCCUGUAUGGCUGUGGCGUCUAAGAUGAGCACCGCUAGAUCUUCCAACGUGUCCUGAAUCUGGGGUAAAUUUUCCAAUUUUGAGCAACCACGGAGAGAAAGUUGCUUUAGGAAUUUCAUAUCAGAAAGGUCAAAUGGAAAGAUUGUAAGGGAAGAACAGUAAGAGAGAUCUAAAUGACAGAGCUUCUUGCAACUAAAGUGUAAGGGCACACCUUUCAUGAAUUUUGUCAACACUUCUAAGUAUAUAGUAUUAUUAGCCACUUCUUCUUCUUCAUUAUAUCUGUCAAAAGUAAUUGAGGAAGUUGGGAAAAUAUGACCACUGUAUGCACGAGGUUCACCACGCCGUCCUGCACCAUGCCGUUCUGAGAAAUUUAUCUCUUUGAUCAUAUCCGGUUUCUGGCGAUGGAAUCUUGAGAAAGUUUGACGUUGACGCUCCACGCUCCAGUAUCACAUGAGGGAAUCUUGAGAAAUUUCCACGUUGAUGCCCCAGUUUCUGAUGUGGGUAUCUUGUGACGCUCCAGUUUCACAUGACGAAAUCUGGGUUCACUGGUUGAAAACAUAUUAAGCUUCCCACAACAGGAAAUAUUAAUCCAUCCUUGUAAUGUGGAUAAAAUGUUGCUGGGAAUAUUUAUACUAUUCAGAUCAUAACAAUUAUCUAAACAUAAAUAACUGAGCUUGCUGAGUAAUAUCGAAGAGUGAACUUUAAUCAACUUUCCACAAUAACUCAGAAUUAUUUCUUCAAUAUUUGGUAAGAGAGAAAAGUCUGGUAUUCUAGUAAGUUUCCGAGAACCACUCAGGUCAAGCCUUUUCAAGUUUGGUAAAUUCUGCCACAAAUAGUAAAUGAAUCAGGUAACAAAUAAAAACCACUGUUAAAAAAAUCACACUCUGAACUAACAAAACUGUGGCUAUUCACUAUCAACAAUCCCUCUCAAAUACACUUCUACUAAUACAUUAACAACAAUAUCAUUAUAUUAACCAUAAAAUAUUACAUUUCUUCAGUUAAUACGUAGGACAAUAUAAUAAUCAGGUCACUCAGCUAAUGAAAAAAAUUAAACAACAUGAACUCAAUUAAAUAAUAUAAAACUUUUGAGUACUAGAUAAAAUAAGAAAAUUAAUAAAAAUUCAAUUUGAAAAUAAUCAAAUUUAUAAGAUACUUAAAACUUAAUUAAACCUACAAAUUUUCAUUAUAUGGAGUUAAAUACUAUAAAUAUUUACCACAUAAGUAGAAUGUUUAAAUAUAUAUUUCUUCACGUUGGAAGUUUUUUUCCUCUAUCUUAUAAGUUUUCUUUGUUUCUUUAAUAUUUUUUAAGCCAAUGUGAUUUUUUUAAUAUAAAAUAUUAUUAAAGAUAAAAUAUGAAGAUAGGGUAAUUAAAUAUAAUUUUUUAUUUUUUAGAAAUGAUGAAAAUUAUAAUUAAAUUAACUAAAUUAUAUAAAAUUCUAUUUCAUUUACAUAACUACUUUUCAUAUUAAAAAAACUAUAUAAGAUCUUGAAACUAUAAUUAAUAUUUCUACUCAUUUUUCGUUUUUGUUGGUGAAAUCUUGAUUUUGGGAUAGUAUUAGUGAGAUAUUGUUUGGAGUUAAAAACAAGAAAUUCUUUUGCAUAAUCAAUUUGAACAGUUUUGAUUUUGAAACCAGAUUUUCAGAGAAGAGUUUAAAGCGUUCAAAUGCAGCAAGAGCUUGAGAUUUAGCAUGCUAGAGAUAAAUUCAUGUAUAUUUUAAAUAUGCAUUAGGAAAAGAGAUAUCGUAUGAUGCAACAUUAUUAGCACAAACAACAAACAGCAGAACGUCCCCAAAUAUCAAUAUAGAUAAAUUCUAAAAGGUGAUUAUCCACACUGUUUUAGAACAACUUUGAUUACAGAAAAACUAUAACGCCCAAGUCUAUUAUGCCACAAGUGAAAAGAAGUUUUUUCAUAUUUAAAAGAUGUGUAGUUAGCAGAAAAAACAGAGGAUCAGAGAUCAAGAAAGACAGAGAGAUCAUCUUUAAGUGUGCCUUGUAGAAGAAUCUGUUUAGUUACUUAGUCUUUAACAUAGCAAGAAUGAGGGUGAAAUUCAAAAAACACAUUGUUGUUACGAGCAAACUUUGAAACACUAAGCAAAUUCUUAGUAUAAUGAGAAACAUGUAAAAGAUCAAGGAGAGAGAAGGAAGUACAAGAGGUAGACGACACACAGGAAGCAGAACCAAUGUGGGAGAUUUUUAUACCUGCACCAUUACCAAGUUUAACGUUCGCAAUGCCAUGAUAGAUUUGUUGAUCAUUGAACAGAGUAUGGUCGUUUGUUAUAUGGUGAGAGACACCGCUAUCUGGGUACCAUAAUGGAUCUUCUAAAGAUGAUGGUGGACCAAGAAGAGAGUAAGAAGAGUCAUCACGUGGAGGUGGAGAGAAAUGAGAUGUGUUUGCAGAGGAGGAUGGUGGUGUAGUACGAUCAAACCAGUGCCAACAAUGAAGAGCAGUGUGUCCAAGUUUGGAGCAUAUUUGACAGCGAACAGGGUUGCGUUUCCAUGAUGAAGACGUAGUGGAGUUCCAAGAAGAGUAUUGGGAAGGUCGGGGUUUGCCGCGGUUGAACUGAUUCUAGUUAGAUGUGGGAUUGUAACCACGACCACCACAGGAGGAGUUGGAAAAGGGGAGGUGGAGAGAAAUGAGAUGUGUUUGCAGAGGAGGAUGGUGGUGUAGUACGAUCAAACCAGUGCCAACAACAAUGAAGAGCAGUGUGUCCAAGUUUGGAGCAUAUUUGAGAGCGAACAGGGUUGCGUUUCCAUGAUUACGACAGUAAUAAAUGUAUUAUAUUCUUCAGAUAGCCUUCAAGGAUGAUGUCAAUAUGAUCAGUGGAAACAGGGGCAUCAAUAGCGGCAAGCAUGUUGACGGCGUUCUUGAUAUCAUGGAGAUAGGAGGAGAUGGAUCUGUGAUGACCUGAUUUUGUUGUUGGUACCAUUAGAGACUUGGGGACUGUCAUCAGUGGUGGAAGAAGUGGUUCUUGAUGGAACACUAGUGUCGUCAAGAAAAUGACCCAGUUUGAGCCCGCAAAUGGAGGCAAGGACUUGAUGUUUCCAGAGAAGAUAGUUAUCUUCAUCUAGUUUAAGAGUGAUGGGUGUUGUGAACUGUUGAACGGAAGGCAUGACCAGAGGUAACGGGCAAGAAGAAGAUGCAAAAGAAGAUGAAGAGAUAUGAGUGCAGUGCAUUAGAAUAGAGAGAGAAAGGAGAAAGAUAUUAUCUUAGUAUAUGUGCUAAAGGUAUAUAAGGAGUGCAGAACUGGAAACACUUACAAAGUUGUCGUUACACAGUUAUAGUAUGGUUAACAAUGUAUAAUACAGAAAACAUGCUUGUGUACUUUAUUUUUAUCUUUGAAAGUUUAGAACACAGAGGAACAUAGAUAGCUAGAAAAACCUGAUCUCCUUCCCAGAGUUGUUCAAGAUGGCAGCCUGGCAUUUCCAGGGUCACAGUCUGGCAUUUCCAGGGUCACUAGAUUUUGUGGGCAAAAGUUUGGAGGCCAGAAUCUUUGAGGGAAACCGUUCCAAUAAAGAAACUUUAGAGUGUCUGGCAGACCUACAAGAGAUGAUUCAAGAGACACAUUUGAUAUGAAUAUAGGCAUGUAGACCAUAAGCAUCAUAAGAUUGUCCAUCUUUUCGAAACUUUGUGCAUGUACUACAGCAUCUUUUACUUUGUUCGUAUGUAGUAAUAUACACUGUAUUGCAUCUGACCCCUGAAAGUAAAUCAAUUUAAUUAGGAGAAAAAAAACAUGAAAUGUUGCAUUGCAGGAUGUUUAAUGACAUCUCAGUGGUUUGCAAUUUUUUACAAAGUAAAUCCAUUCUCAAUUGAGUAACGACAUAAUACCUUGUUCUUUCUUAAAACCUCUCAAAUUUCCUCAGCAUUAAACAAUCGGCUGCGUUUUCCAGGAUGCUGAGGACACUCUUUACGAACAAUUUCUUGACUCAUUUCUNNNNNNNNNNNNNNNNNNNNNNNNNNNNNNNNNNNNNNNNNNNNNNNNNNNNNNNNNNNNNNNNNNNNNNNNNNNNNNNNNNNNNNNNNNNNNNNNNNNNGAUCCAUCUUUUUCUGCUGCUACCAUGUCGAACUCCCUUCAAAUCAAUACAAUGUCUUCACCAUCAAUCAGCCAAGUGAUUAAUGUUAAACUCACACAAGAAAAUUAUUUAUUGUGGUCUGCUCAAAUCCUUCCCUAUUUACGUAGUCAGGGGCUGGUUGGGUUUGUGGAUGGAUCCAUGCCACCACCAAACCAAACGAUUACGGUUGAGUCAAGUGAAGAAACAGGGAGCCGCAAAAUCCUGAAUUCACAGUCUGGUACCCCCAGGACCAGCUGGUACUCAGUCUCAUCAACUCAUCGGUUACCGAGGAAGUUCUCAGCACGGUGGUCGGAAUCACCACUGCACGAGAAGCCUGGGAUAUGCUGGAGCGGCAAUUUGCCUCCACAUCUCGAGCACGAGCAAUGCAGAAUCAUAUGGAACUCUCCACGAUCCAAAAGAAGGACAUGACAAUUGCUGACUAUUUUCGUAAAGUAAAACGUCUCGGAGACACUCUGGCUGCCAUUGGCAAGCGAGUAGAGGAUGAAGAACUCAUCGCCUACAUGCUGCAAGGACUUGGUCUAGAUUAUGAUCCUCUUGUCACAAGCAUUACAACUAGAACAGAUGUUUACACUGUCAGCGAUGUGUAUGCUCAUAUGCUGAGCUACGAGAUGCGUCAUCUGCGUAAUGGUACUCUUGAGCAAUUUCCUUUUGCUAACAAUGUCAACAGCAUGUCUAAUCGAGGAGGAACUAAUGGACGUCGUGGUGGUCGUGGUCGUCAAUCAAAUGGUGGUCGAGGACAAACAUGGCACACUAGAAACAAUUCUGGACGUCAGCCAUCAAAGGCACAAAGUAACUCAGACAAAGUCUGUCAGAUUUGUGGUAAGCCAAACCAUGAUGCUUUGCAAUGUUGGCACAGAUUUGAUCAGGCAUAUUAAGCCGAAGACAAUCUUAAACAAGCAGUUGUGGCCACAAGUGGAUAUACUGGUGAUGCAAACUGGUACGUAGAUACUGGAGCCACAGAUCACAUCACCAACGAGUUAGAAAGACUUACCACCAACGAACAUUACAAUGGCACUGAUCAGAUUCAAGUUGCAAAUGGCUCAGGUUUUUCUAUCUCUCAUAUUGGGAACUCAUUAAUUUCUGGUUCAUCUAGAUCUCUUGUACUGAAACAUAUCCUAUAUGCUCCUAAAAUCAAUAAACAUCUGAUUUCAGUACAAAGACUAGCAUCUGAUAAUAAUGCCUUUGUGGAAUUUCACCCACACUGUUUUUUUGUUAAGGACCGAGCCACGAAGGAACUUCUGCUCACAAGUAGAUGUAAGAAUGGCCUCUACACUUUACCAAAUAACUCCAGCAAAGCAUUCCCGACAGCCAAACUUUCGAAAGAACAAUGGCAUAGAAGACUUGGGCAUCCUGCUUUCCCAGUCACAAUUAGAAUCUUGAAAAAUAAUAACUUAGCUCUAGAUACUAGAGUUUCUUCUUCCUUAAUUUGCCAUGCUUGUCAACUAGAAAAGCACAUCAAUUACCCUUUGUUUCUUCUCAACAUGUAUCUACAGCACCUCUUCAAUUGAUUCAUACUGAUGUAUGGGGUCCAGCCAUUGUCUUAGUGAAUAAUUCUAAAUAUUAUGUUUCAUUUGUUGAUGAUUUUAGCAGAUAUGUUUGGAUUUAUUUUUUGAAAUACAAGUCUGAUGUUGAGUCUGUGUUUCAUCAGUUUCAAAAACAUGUUGAAACCAUGCUAAACACCAAAAUUCGCUCUGUCCAGUCAGAUUGGGGGGGUGAAUACCAUCGUUUGCACCAAUAUUUCAAAACAACUGGAAUUGAGCAUCGUCUUUCUUGUCCUCACACACAUCAGCAAAAUGGGUUGGUAGAAAGAAAGCACAGACACAUUGUGGAAACUGGCCUUACUUUACUUGCCCAAGCUAACAUGCCUUUGUCCUAUUAGGAUGAAGCCUUCAAUACAGCUUGUUACCUUAUAAAUAGACUACCAUCUCGAAUCAUACAAGCAAGACACACCACUUCAUAAAUUAUUUGCAAAAAAUCCAGAUUACACCAUGCUUAAGGUGUUUGGCUGUGCUUGCUGGCCCAAUUUAAGGCCUUACAACACCAAGAAACUGAGUUUUCGAACCACUAAGUGUGUCUUCUUAGGCUAUAGUUCUUCUCAUAAGGGAUACAAGUGCUUAGAUAGAAGUACAAAACGAAUUUACAUCUCUAGAGAUGUAAUCUUUGAUGAAAAUGUGUUUCCUUUUGAAGAAUUAAAUUCUAAGUCAUCAAUCCAAACCAAAAAUUCACACCAGCCUGCUCUACUUCCAACCUUCGUUAAACCCGUUCCAUACACUGAAAAUGCUCUCACAAAUAUUGAACCAGUUGUUAAUGAUUCUCGUAUAAUUGAUGGUCAAUCUAAUGAUGUUGCUAAUAACAACUUGUCUGGUAUAAGCUUACAUCCUGCAGAUAAUACAAUAAGUCCAGAAAUUGUUGCAGAACAGGAAGCUGAGAACAGUCUGACCAAUUUCCAAGAACAGAUGUUCNNNNNNNNNNNNNNNNNNNNNNNNNNNNNNNNNNNNNNNNNNNNNNNNNNNNNNNNNNNNNNNNNNNNNNNNNNNNNNNNNNNNNNNNNNNNNNNNNNNNGAACAAGAUUGAAAAAUAACAUUGUCCAAGCAAAACAGUUCACUGAUGGUACUGUCAGAUAUUCAGAGACCUCAAGAAAGUUUACCGGUGCUGUCACUGUCAAAAAUCCGACCACAAUAAAUGUACUAAAAAAUGCUACUGAGACUGAUACAGUUACUGAACCUCAAAACCUGCAGGAAGCUCUACAAAGUCCAGGUUGGCAGGAAGCAAUGAAUAAUGAGCUCUCAGCAUUACAACACAAUGAGACUUGGGAUUUCGUUCCACCAAAACCUGGCAUAAAUCUCAUUGAUAGUCGAUGGGUGUAUAAAGUGAAAAGGAAAGCGGAUGAAUCAGUGGAGAGAUUGAAAGCAAGGUUGGUUGCUAAAGGGUUCAAGCAAAGAUUUGGCAUUGAUUACAUUGAUACCUUUAGCCCCGUGGUCAAGCCAUCAACAAUCAAAGUUAUUCUUUCACUAGCAGUAACCAAAGGCUGGAAUAUGAGACAAGUUGAUAUCCAAAAUGCAUUCUUGCAUGGAAUUUUGGAAGAGGAAGUGUACAUGCGACAACCAUCGGGAUUUCAAGACCCAUAUAAACCAAAGGAAUACAUAUGCAAACUCAAGAAAGCGCUUUAUGGCCUGAAACAGGCUCCAAAGGCUUGGCACUCAAGACUGACUGGAAAACUUAUGGAAUUAGGCUUUAGAGCUUCUGUAGCUGAUUCAUCUUUGUUUAUCCUCAAAAACAAAGAGGUAACCAUCUAUAUGCUCAUAUACGUUGAUGAUAUAAUUAUCGUGAGCUCCUCUGAUCAAGCCACCGAAAGGUUGAUUCAGAAGUUGAAAAUAGAUUUUGCUAUAAAAGACUUAGGUGGUCUUGAGUAUUUUCUGGGUAUUGAAGUCAAGAAGGCAAGAGAUGGCAUCACANNNNNNNNNNNNNNNNNNNNNNNNNNNNNNNNNNNNNNNNNNNNNNNNNNNNNNNNNNNNNNNNNNNNNNNNNNNNNNNNNNNNNNNNNNNNNNNNNNNNAAAUUAUUCAAAGAGCAGGGAACACUCUUGUCAAUUGAAGAACAAUUUAAAUACAGAAGUACUGUGGGAGCAUUGCAAUACUUGACAAUGACCAGGCCUGAUUUGGCAUUUGCUGUCAACAAGGUUUGCCAAUACCUUCAUACGCCUACUGAUGCUCAUUGGAGUGUUGUAAAGAGAAUCCUUCGUUAUGUCAAGGGCACAUUAGAUUUGGGAAUCAGAAUUCAGAAGUCUCCAACAAUGCUGCUGUCCGGAUUUUCUGAUGCUGAUUGGGCUGGUUGUCCUGAUGAUCGACGUUCAACUAGCGGCUUUGCUGUAUUUCUUGGAGCAAAUCUAAUUUCUUGGAGCUCUAGAAAACAAACCACAGUGUCCAGAUCGAGCACCGAAGCAGAAUACAAGGCCAUUGCGAAUCUGACAGCAGAAAUGAUUUGGAUAAAAUCAUUAUUGAAAGAGCUUGGUGUGUAUCAAUCAAAAGCUCCUCGACUCUGGUGUGACAAUCUAGGAGCUACAUACUUAACUUCAAAUCCAGUGUUUCAUGCAAGAACAAAACAUAUUGAAGUUGACUUCCAUUUUGUUCGAGAACAAGUGGCACGCAAAGCAAUGGAAGUUCAGUUUAUUUCAUCAAGUGAUCAAGUGGCUGAUAUCCUAACAAAACCACUGUCUAGAACUCUCUUUAUUACACAUUGUAACAAUCUCAACAUGUAUAAAACCUGUUGGGAUUGAAGGGGACUGUUAGAAUUAGUCAGUUAGAAGUGGAACACGUUUGUAGAAGUGGAACACGUUAGUUGGUUAGUUGCCUUAAGAAGCGGAUCAUGGAUCCAACCGUGUAUGCAAUCAGUUACCUUUCUUUAAUUAUAAAUACAAUACGUCCUCCACAUAGAGAGGUACAGUUAGCAAACUUUAUUAGAGCUGAAUCGGUAACAUCAUCAAGAAUGAGGAGAACCUUUGUCCGUUUGAGCCUUUCAUUGUAAUAUGGUGAAGAAGAGGAUUUCUCUUCCUUUAGAAGCUCAGACUGAUAUUUUGUUCUGAUACUGUCUAUUCCAUCUCUUUGUAUUUUUUCUUGAACGUCUAAAACAAGGCUGCUGGAAUCAAACUGCAAUGCCAAUUUGUGAUAUAUUUGAUUACAAAUUGUAGUUUUUCCUAUUCCUCCCAUGCCACAAAUUCCUAUGAUCCGAACAUCCGGUGACUCAAGAUGCAACAAGGACUGAAUUCCUUCAAUAUGUUUUUCAAUGCCGAUGAUUCCUUGAUCAUAACUGAUGGAAUAACGAUUCAAUUUUUUCAACAAGUGUGUGUUCUGUGCUGGCAGAUGAUUUAGAAAAUAAUGUAUAAGUAUUCAAGCACAAAAGCUAAACUAAAGAAAAAUUCUACAGCAUCCGUUUGUGACUUCUGAUACUAGGGAGAAGACUUGUAGGUACAAAGUUAAGCUAUAACAUGUAAUAUGGUUCAGAUCUAAGACCGACUAAUAGAAAUGAAAAAAGAAGCACUUGAUUUAGGGUGAGAUGAACACAAUUUUAGUAAAUGAAAAGAGAUCCUGAUUAUCUGGAAAGUGCGUGACCUGGUGACUUUUGAAUCCCAGCCUGCAAGUUCAGCAGCUUCGGUGAGAGCAUCCUUCCAUCCUUGCACUUUAUCGUGCUUAAAGUGCUGCUCAUGCUUUUCGAAUGCUUCUUUGUAUCUUUGUUCCUGCUUCCUAAUAGUUGAUGGAUCCACCUUGUAGAAAACAGGUAUGACAUCCCUUCCAAAUCUCUUCUUGCAUUCAAGUAUCUUAGUGAGUUCAUUCAAGCACCAAGUGGAAGAUGCAUAGUCUUGGGAGAAAACGAUGACAUAAAUCUUUGAAAAAUAAGUAUGAAAUCUAGAUAUAUAUCAUUAUCACGUGUGGAAGCUACGUCGUCUUGUAUUGGAUUUUCUAAUCUGCCUUUUAUCUUGUCUCAUUCUUCUUUAUCUUUUUUCUCUCAUCUCUCUUGCUUACGAUUUCUUUGCCUUUAUUCAGAAAUUUUAGUUAUAAUAAACCUUCAAUAAUAUUUGUACUUUCUAGCAUAUAGAAUACUUAAUGGAUCCUUUUCUGAUUUUUCUUUUCUAAAGUUCAAUUGAUUUUUUAAAUGUUUUUCUAUUUAAUUUUCCUUUCUUAAUGACACAUAAAAUGGUUCAGUGCACAAUUAAUUAUUCUCACCUUAGAUUUCAUUCAUCUCAUUCCAUUUCCACACUCAAAUCAUUCUCACAUUUGUUUCUACCUGUUUCACAAAGUUUUAGUUAAAAUAUGGAAAUUAAUGUUCAAGAACCCUACUUAAUAUUAAUAUUCAACAAUUUAAAAUAUUAAAAUGCAAAUUAAUCUUUCUUAAUAAUGUCAUUUUUAUGUAAAAAAUAAAAUGUAGUUUAGUCAUUUAUACUUAGAUGGAUAAAGAUGAUUUUAGAAAAAAAAAAUGCAUUUUAUUUCAAAGGUUAACUAAACUCUGAACUCAUUUAUGAAUUAAUAAUAAUAAAUAAUAUGUAAUUGUAUUCCAAUACCAUAUAAAUUUUUUUUAUUGGGUGCGUUUCUGAUGAAUUAAUGCACUCUAGGGACAAUGAUCGCUCUAGUAUUUGAUUUUUUAUUUAUUUUAAUGUUAAAAUUAUAGCUAUGUAGUACAGAUAUUACUGACACAGACAGACACGAACACGGACACAGAAAUACAUAAAAUCUCUAAAAUGUAGAAUACGGAGACAUUAAUCUAUAUAUUAUAUAAUUAUGAAUCAUAUAAAUUAACAAUAAAGAUUUAUGUGCACAAGUAUUUUUGAGAUUAUUUUUUAGAACAGAAAUAUGUUUUUCAUGACUAGUUCACAAAUAUUUGUUUCUUAUUCUUAUAAUCAUAAUAACAAUUUAUACCAUAAAGUUUCAAUUUUAGAAAAUUAAUGUAUUUUUUCUUUUUAAAAUUUCGUUAGAACUGUACUAGAAUUGUAAAAAAUCUAACAAAUACAUUUUGAAUUGGACAUUCCACGAAUACGUGUCCUACCAGUAUUUUGAACAACAUUCUUUCUUUUGGAACAAAGAGGGCAUAUGCCGCAGUCUUUUACUGUGAUAACUCAUUUCAACUCUCACACAACUGAUUCGUAAUCUGUGGGAUGCAUUAAAGCCUUUUGCAGUUAAAUCAAUAGUAUAUGAUGAUGUGAAUGUUAUUUAUAUACUAAAUAUAAUCACAUAGUAACUUCAAAUUUGAUAAGGUACAACAUGUUACCAUAUCUCUUUUAAUUUAUUUUAUUUCAUUAUAUAUUUAGGUGUAUUUAAUUUCUUUUAUUUCAUUGUGUAUUUAGGUGUAUUACGUAAAAUAUAUAAUUAAAAAGAAAGAAGAAUAAUGUUAUUUUGAAAUUUAAAGAAGACAUAUAGAAAUAAACAAGCUUUUGCUAAGAUUCCACCAUUGAAAAGGAACAUAGAACAAUCUUGACAAUUAUACUUUGACUUAUUUUAAUUUCUUAUAUUUAUGAGUAUUAUUUUUUCUUAAACAUAGAUAUUGGAUAAAAAAUACAAAUAACAUUUCUUUAUUUCAAAUUUAAAAAUAUUUUAAAUUAAAAUAAAAUAAUUUUUUAAUUAAGAUAUAACAAAAUAUUCUUUAACAAAUUAUUUUAAUUUCAAAAUAAUUAAUUCAGAGGACGAUUGAAAAAAUAUUAAAUAUUAUAAUAAAGCUUCAAUAAUAUUUGUACUUUCUAGCAUAUAGAAUACUUAAUGGAUCCUUUUAUGAAUUUUCUUUUCUAAAGUACAAUUGAUUUUUUAAAUGUUUUUCUAUUUAAUUUUUCUUUCUUGACACAAAAUGUUCAGUGCACAAUUAAUUACUCACCUUAGAUUUCGUUCUUCUCUUUCCAUUUCCACACUCAAAUCAUUUUCACCUUUUUUUUCUUCUUAUUUCACAAAACUUUAAUUAAAAUAUGGAAAAUAAAGUUCAAGAACCCUGCUUAUAUAUUAAUAUUCAAAAAUUUAAAAUAUUAAUAUGCAAAUGAAUAUUUCUUAAUAAUUUUAUUUUGAUGUAAAAAAUAAAAUGUAGUUUAGUCAUUCAUACUUAGAUGGAUAAAGAUGGUUUUAGAAAAAAAAAAAGAAUAUGCAUUUUAUUUGAAAGGUUAUCUAAACUCUGAACUCACUGAUGAAUUAAUAAUAAUAAAUAAUAUGGAAUUCUAUUCCAAUACCAUAUAGGAUGGAGAAAAGUAAGAAGAGGAUUUACACAUUACCCUUUCAAAUGGAGCUCCUCAGGAUUUCAUAAUGCCUUCACUGCAAAUGCAACCCAAAUAUGCUAAAAAAGUUAAUGAAACUAUAUAUGAAGAGUUAAUGAAACUAAAUGGCGUGUGCUGAAAUUUUUGAUCCGAUAACCAUGCCCACAUUCAAAAAGUGAAAGGUUACUUUGCUUUAUAUUCCUUUGGGUGGUGCUACUUUUCAACUUGACAACAAAUUCCCAUUAUUGUGUGGUUAUCAAUUACCAUUUAACUUAUUCUCAUACCACAUUCACUAUAUAAUAGUCCAUCAUAAACCCCAAAAUUUGCACAUUUUCUAUUUGCAAGACAUCCAACAGACAAAGAAAACAUGUGAAACUGUGUAAUAAUGUGAGAACGUAAGAACUUACUUCAUCAUGAAAUCAAGCCAUGCCUGAGGGUUUUUUCUGAGAGCAUUCACCACAGGUGCAUAUUCAUGUGGCUGUAUCCCAUACUCAGCUAGUAUUUCUGCUACCUCUGCCGCUUCUUUUUUUGUCAAAAAACACAUAUUCAUUAUUAAUGUGCAAUCAAAUGGUAACGAAACUAUGUAGUACAAACACACACUGAUACGACACUAGGACGAACAUACGUAUAAUGUUACUCCUUCUAUGGAAAUGAAGGAUAUUCAGCAAUAACUUUUAAAACUCAUUACAUAGAAAUUUGCAUCAAGUUAUCAAAGUCUAUAGGAAUGAAUUUUCAAUUCAUGGAAACACAGAUAACAAAAAGUAAUAGAAAAAUAGAAAAAAAGUUGUCAAAUGAUUCUAUAAAAAAUUAACCUAUCAUGAAAAUCAAGAUGAUAGAAAAUAAAAUAAUGUGGCAUGAACAUCAAAAUCGUAUAAAAGCAUAAUAGAAGAACAGUGGAUACCAGUUUCUGGCACGGCGAUGAUUUCUUCUUGCUCUCUUUUCAAUUCCCUCGAGUAAUUAUCGGCUUCACUUUUUGCUGCCAAAUAACUGCACAAUGAAAAUUAACAUGAAAUAAUAACGGAAUUUAAAUUGAGUUUUGUGAGUGUGAAGAGUGUGGUUGAACGUACCCGCCGAGGCCCAUGGAGAUGGCGCCGGCGGCGACUUCCGCUAUGCCAGCGGUGAGAACGAUGGAGGAGGUGACAUUGGCGCCGGAGAGGCCGGCGGCGAGGGCGAAGGGGACGGUGAGGCCGUCGGAAACGCCGAUGAUGAUGUCGCGGACUAUUUCGCCGGCGGUGAAGUGCUUCUCGGUGUGGUGGUUGAGAAGGUUCGUUCUCUCAGAAUCCACGCUUAUGCCGUGUUCGGUGGCGGCCAUUGGUGCAAGCUUGUGAAUGUGUUUGAGUUCGCCAACGUGCUCUGGGAAUCCAAACAAAGCCUUGCUGCUUUGCACAUAAAUUGAGCCUCUUUUGUGCUCAACUUACUCCUAAAUAGAACAAAAAUAUCUAACCGUUGAUGAUAUCCACGUGGAAAAUUAUCAAUGGAUAUCAAUAUCACAUUAUUUCUACACUAAUAUUUUAAUUAUUUUUAAAUAUUAUAACUAAAUCAAUCAAUAUAAUACCAAAUCUUCUUAAUUCUUUGGAUUAUAUAUAUUUUAUUUUAUUUUAUUUAUAAAGGAAGUUGUGAUAAAUGUUGUGUUUUGUGUGCACAUUAAUAAAAAUCAAAUAACCAAAAAAUAAUAAUCUUGUGAAAGAAAAAAUGGUAGAAUUUAUACUAUUCUACAAAAUUUUAAAAGUGGCUAAUGUGUUUUACUCAACUAUGUAAAUAAUUUUGGACUCUCUUGUUAAGGAAAUAAUGAAAUACAUUAAAUUUUGUUUUAUACUCUUACUUUAAGUUUUUUUGUGUUUCUCCUGACUUAAUUAAAUAUCAGAGAGUCGUCUUUUGCAGGUAGAUUUCAUUCUAUCAUAAUAUACCAACUGAAAACUUGUUUUCUGAAAAACACACGGCUCUCACCGAAUUGCACUUUCCAAUUUUUUUUAAUAGAAAUAAUAAUAAUUAAGUAUUUGUGUUCUUAUAUUUAAUUUUUAAUAAAAAAAUUAUUCUUAUGUACUUCUAAAUUGAUAUAUUUUACCAAUGUCUAUUAACAAUGGGAAGAAGUUUAUACCUAACAAAACUAUUUAACAUGAUUUGUUUGUAAAUUAUAGAAGUAUGUGUAGAAAGAUAUAAAAUUAAUGUUUUAAGAGAAAUUUAAGCAACUUUCAUAAUAUAUUGUAGAUUAUUAGUUGAAUUUAUGGAAAUUAAAAAUAAAUUGUAGGUCACCACACUUCCACUUUUUUUUAAUGAUAUCAAAUCACAACUUUACAAUUUUCACUAAUUUUUAACCAAUAACAAAAGAACAUCUUAGAAGAAGUGUGUUUAAGAAUUUGAUGUUAACUCUCAUUGUUUUUUAAACUUAAAUCCAGCUUUAUUCUUCAACUUUUAAUUUUUAUACAUAUUUAAUUGUAUAUAUAGUUUUUAACUCUCUAAAAUCAAACAAUUUUAAUUCAUUAAAUAGGCAAUGUCAUGAGUGUUAAACUUUUAACAUUUUUCUAGUAAUUAAAUUACUUAUGAAGAUUCAACUAAUUCAAAAUUUAAUAUUUUUACAAUUUUUAUUAUAAUAUUCUUAAAAUAUAUUUUAAUAUUUUGUUUUUCAUGUUUGAAAUAUAAAUGUUUUAAAAAAUCAUUUUAAAUUAUUUUGUUUCUCAUCUUAUGUAAUAAAUUACUAUAAUAAUUACUAAAACAUUUAAUACCUAUACAUUUUUAAUGAGCAAAAACUAAUAAUGAAUUAUAACAAAUAAAAAACGUUUCUGGGCAACAAAAUAGUAAUUAAUAUGAAUUAUAACAAAUAAUGAACGUUUUGUGGUAAUUUGUUUCACUUUCAAAUAAGUUAGUACUUCGCCUGUUAUUUCAUAACGGUAGUUUUUUUAAAUAUAUUAAGAAAAAUGUUUAUUUUUUUAUUUUUAAUGCACUUUUAAGUAACUUGCCUAUUAUAUUAUAUUAUAUGGGUAUUAUAUAUAUAUAGGUAAGCACCAAAAAAUAAAUUUAAGGUAAAAGUGAUAUAAUUAAAAUAAAAUAAAUUAUUAUUAAAUAGAAAAUAUAUAUAAUUAAAAAAAUCAGUUAUUUAAGUUUUAUUUUAAAAUAAUUUUUGUAAAAAAAUUUUCUUUUUUUCCUUGUUCACGAUUUUAAAUUUUAUAUUCACUUGGUAGACAUGUUUUGCAUGUGGUGUUUGGGACUUAAAAGAAUAAUAUAUGUUAGUUCAAGAUCCUAAUGAUGUGUUUUUAAGAAGUUGGACUAUCUUUGUUUUUUUAAGAAGUUGAAGUCUUUUUAUGAAUACUUAUCUUUUUAAACAGGUAAGAUAAACUAGUUUUAUCUGUAAAACUUAAGUUAGAAUAUCUGAAUAUGAAAUGUGAUUCUUCAUAUGAUUAUGAUUGAAUGAUUCAAAAUUCAAGUAUAAAGUUUUAAGAAUCAUUAACUUAUGUUUUUUUUUUUGUGCUAUUUUUUUGAUUUUUUGCAAUGAUUGUGUGUUGCAUGUGAGCAAAUGAUGUUACAAGUUGUAAACCUAAAAAAAAAUCAUGAAAUUUUGUCUUUUUUAUUCUUUUGAUAUUUUAUCUUAAUGAUAUAUAUAUAUAUAUAUAUAUAUAUAUAUAUAUUUAAAAAUCUCUAUAUGAAAGGAUAGUAUUUUAUGAUAUAAUAAUAUGAUAAUGUAAAUGUUAUUUAUAUAAUAAAUAUCAUGAGAUAAUUUAAAUUUUGAUAAGAUAAAUGAAGAUGUUACAAUAUCUCUUUUAAUUUUUUUUUAUUUCAUUAUAUAUUUAGGCGUAUUUAAUUUCUUUUAUUUCAUUGUAUAUUUAGGUGUAUUACGUAAAAUAUAUAAUUAAAAAGAAAAAAUAAUGUUAUUUUGAAAUUUAAAGAAUGACGUAUAGAAAGAAACAAGCUUUUGUUAAAAUUCCACCAUUGAAAAGGAACAUAGAACAACACUCUUGACAAUUAUACUUUGACUUAGAUACUUAUUUUAAUUUAUUAUAUUCAUGAGUAUUAUUUUUUCUUAAACAUAGAUAUUGGAUAAAAAUUAAUAAAAUUUAUUUAUUUCAAAUUUAAAAAUAUUUAAAAUUAAAAUAAAAUAAUAUUUUUAAUUAAGAUAUAAAAAAAUAUUCUUUACAAAUUUUUUUAAUUUCAAAAUAAUUAAUUCAGAGGAUGAUUGAAAAAAUAUUAACAAUCUAUUUAUGCGUUUAUAGUAAACCUUCAAUAAUAUUUGUACUUUCUAGCAUAUAGAAUACUUACUGGAUUUCUUACUCUUUCUUUCUACACCUCUAUCCAUACUAAAUAUAAAAAUACCAUUUUAUUCUUUUUUCUCCACCCCUUGAAUUUGAAAUAAUAAGCCCAUGGAUUAUGUAAUCUGGAUAUAUUCCGGAUUAGUCAAUUUCAUAUUUAGAAAAGACUUUCGGAUUAUGUAAUCCAGAAGCUAAUAAAACAUCUGAAAAAAAGGCUUCCGGAUUACAUAAUCCGGAAGCUAAUCUUAUGUAUAGAAAAGACUUUCGCAUUAUGUAUUCCGGAAGCUAAUCACAAAAGACUUCUGGAUUACAUAAUCCAAACGCUAAUUCUAAAUCUAGAAAAAAGACUUCCGGAUUAUGUAAUCCGGAAUAUUAAAAAAGAUAUUUUUGAAAUACGAAAAAUUUAUGGGGGUGACACAAGAAGGUAUGGAGGUGCAGGAAGAAACAGCCUGGAUUCCUUUUGUGAUUUUUCUUUUCUAAAGUACAAUUGAUAUUUUAAAUGUUUUUCUAUUUAAUUUGUCUUUCUUAAAUGACACAUAAAAUGUUCAGUGCACAAUUAACUACUCACCUUAGAUUUCGUUCUUCUUUUUCCACUUCCACACUAAAAUCAUUUUCACAUUUUUUUUACCUAUUUCACAAAAAUUUAAUUCAAAAAUGGAAAUUAAAGUUCAAGAACCCUACUUAUAUAUUAACAUUCAACAAUUUAAAAUAUUAAUAUUCAAAUUAAUCUUUCUUAAUGUUAUGAAAAAUUUAAAAUGUAGUUUAGUCAUUCUUGGAUGGAAAAAGAUGGUUUUAGAAGAAAAAAAUGCAUUUUAUUUGAAAGGUUAUCUAAACUCUAAACUCAUUGAUGAAUUAAUAAUAAUAAAUAAUAUGGAAUUCUAUUGGAAUAGCAUAUAAAUGUUUUGUUGUUGAAACUGAUAAUUGGGUGCGUUUCUGAUGAAAUUAAUUAAUGCAGUCUAGGGACAAUUAUCGCUCUAGUAUUUCAUUUUUUUAUUUUUAACGUUGAAAUUAUAAUUAUACAAUUCCGUUUUUAGAUAUUAAAAUGAUAGUUUUCAUUUACAGAUUAAAAUAUUACUUGUUUCUUUUAAGAUUUUUUUGGUAUUAUAAUUAUUUGUUAGCUGAAUUGUUUUGCGUUAACAUGUUGUUUUCUUGGGCUAUGAUGUAAGCAAUAUAAAUGUUAUUUUUAAUGUAAGCAAUAAAAAUUAUGAGUAUUCAAAGUCGUGUAAUUACUUAAAAGAAUCAAGUGAUUUUUAAAAGAACUCACACGAUCAGUUUUAAUUUUGACGAUAAAAUAUAUUAGUUAUAUAUAUUUAUUCAAAAUUUCAAUUAUACUAUGCAUUUAUGGUUUUAUGCUUUUAGAGGAAUCAGUAACUUAGAAAAGCUCCCAAAAACUAAUGAAAUCCCAUGAAUGAAGAAGGAGAACAAAUGGAAGUGAAAAAUCAGUAAGAUGAUAAUUAAUAAACACCCUCUCUUAAUAACAUAACAUAGGAGUCUUUAAACUUAUAUUCUUCAAACAAUUAUAAGCUGUCUUCAACUUUACUGUUAAACUACAAUUAUAAAGAAUUAACAAUCUCACACACCAACAACAUUUAUAAGUCAUCACUCACAUGCAACAAGGUGUGCCUCAAUGUGAAAAAACCAAGAUCAAUAAGAAAUGAGGUUCCACUUAACCAAGCUGAGAAUUGUCUGGUUUUCCAGCUCCAUGCACAAACCUAAUACAAUGAUAUGAUAUUCAAUACCAAGAGGUACCUUGUCGUAAAACUGAGAAUAUGAGGUUGCAUAGGAUGGAGAAAAGUAAGAAGAGGAUUUACCAAUUACCCUUUCAAAUGCAGCUCCUCAAGAUUUCAUAAUCCCUUCACUGCAAAUGCAACCCAAAUAUGUUAAAGAAGUUAAUGAAACCGAAAUAUGAAGAGUUUCAAAAUAAAAAUUUAACAUGUUGAAACUUGUAAUUUAGAAGUAUUGACUAUAAGGCAGUUUAGAUCCUGACCAAUGAAAGACUAAUAAGCAGAAGAGGAAGAGACUAGUUGACUGGCUAGCUUUCGGCCUUCCACUUCCUAUCUUCCCUUGUUUCUCUUGAAGACUGUGCAACAUUGCUUCCACUGGAUUCUUCAAUCUCAACAGCACCACCAUAUUCAUCAUCUUUCUUUUUCGUAUAAAGAGGGCAUAUGCCGCAUUCUUUUAUUGUGAUAACUGAUUUCAACUCUCUCACAACUGAUUCGUAAUCUGGCCACCCAAAGUCAUAAUCACACGGACUGAUCUCAAAAGUGAAGCUGCGAGCAUCACAUAGCCUGAGGCUCAUGCCGCUCGCCCUUAGGGACUCCAAGUUAAAUUUCCACACGAAUGUGUGAUCUUUAUCAACACAUCUCUCUUCACCAUUCCAUUUGAAAUAGCUGUUUAACACAUCAUUAUUUGGAAUGAUCUGUGUGCCAUCAUCAUCAGAUUCAAAUGUUAGGCUGUAACUAAAAGAACCAUAUCUACCAUUCAUAGCAUACGUAUCUAACACUCCAAAAACCACACUCAAAGCGAAACCAGUGAGCCUAUCAUCGCUGCAGAAACUUAAAUCUUCAUUUAUAGUCACUGAAUGUCCCUUCCCACGAAAAUUGAACCAACCAGGAACUGCACUCCCUGGAAAACAGAAGAACACACACCUAUAUGCAUCGUCGGUCAUCCUAAGCCUUGCAUCCUCCUCAAUGUUAGCACGACCACCUGAAUCCAGUUGUUGAGCAUUGGUGAAAUGAAAUUUAAAUACACCCUCUUCGGAAUUUGAGAGGUUUCGAACAAGAGAAUUUGGCAUCACUCUUCUAAUGGAUGGGCAAUCCAAUGCCACGAGUUGUUUCAGAAAUGGUGGAAUCUGUGGGAUGCAUUCAAGCUUUUUGCAGUCGCUUAAAUCAAGCGAUUUCAAACUUGAAAGAUGAGCAAUGCUCCCAGGAAGGUUCACGAUUCCGCUAUUACGCAGUGAAAGUUUCAUUAAUGACGUCAAACGACCAAUGUGUCUAGGGAUUUCUGUUAAUUUGGGGCACCCCGAACAAUCAAGUUUAGAGAGAAGCUUCAGAUUAACAAUGCAGUUUGGAAGUGAGUCGAGAUCAGUGCAUUUGUGGAGCUCCAGGGAUCGAAGAUUAACCAAAUUGCCAAAUGAGGAAGGCAAUUCUUUAACAGCCGUAGAUGUUAAGUUAAUGUGAGCAAAAGUAUGAGCCGGCUCCGUGAUCUCUGGGAAGGACCUCAGCCUUGAGCAACCACCUAAAUCAAACUUCCUCAAUUUCAAAUUGAAAAUGGUGCUUGGAAAAGUUUGAAGUGAAUUACAGUGGGUAAGGUCUAACUUGCAUAGUCUGGUGAGGGUUCCAAUGGAAGAUGGAAUAAUCUGAAGAUUGAAGCAACUGCGCAAACUCAGUUGUUGAAGCCCUACCAAACGGCACAAGGAUGAAGGUAGUGCCUGUAUGGCUGUGUCGUCUAAGAUGAGCACCGCUAGAUCUUCCAACGUGUCCUGAAUCUGGGGUAAAUAUUCCAAUUUUGAGCAACCACGGAGAGAAAGUUGCUUUAGGAAUUUCAUAUCAGAAAGGUCAAACGGAAAGAUUGUAAGGGAAGAACAGUCAGAGAGAUCUAAGUAACAGAGGUUCUUGAGACUUUGAAAGUUCAAGGGCACACCUCCUCUGAGAUUUGCCGACACUUCAAAUUGUAAGUAUAGAGUAUUAUUAGCCACUUCUUCAU
Molecule: long non-coding RNA, 76034 nt
Filed under: Phaseolus vulgaris (common bean)
Lineage: Eukaryota; Viridiplantae; Streptophyta; Magnoliopsida; Fabales; Fabaceae
Description: long non-coding RNA (PVUL_LNC004765)
Rfam family: Small nucleolar RNA Z247 (bases 60837-60975)
Source: RNAcentral